UAGGCGUGUGCCGUCGCCACGUGCGGCAGCUCUGCGGCGUGCAUGGGUUACAUUUGCCGAUAAAUAAGCAGAUUGGUCGAAGUCUUUUGAUUAGUUAGAGUAUCAUUCGGCUUUCCUGGGCUUUCGCCGGGCAUAUCCAGGUCCUUUGUAGUGGAAUGCUAUGUAAUUCAAGCAUGACGAUCAGAAGAAAUGUGGAGAACUUGCACCCACUUUUCUGACAUAAAAUGGAACUUUUCACGCUCUCAUUUGUAUGGCACGUACGAAACAGUUCAUGUCCGCGUUUUUCAACUUUUUUACGCACAUCUAUCUAUAGAUUGGAACAAGGUUACAAACUUAAUCAUGUCUUAAUCAAAUGACAUAUCAAAUAAAGAAGAAAGAUUUUUUUAAAAGAAAAUGCACGAAAUCUAUGCAAGAUCUAGACUGAGAUUUAGCGAUCCGGUUAGAACAAAUUAUCAAAAAAUUCCUUUCCUUUUUGUGUCUAAAAUUUUCUUUUCUUUUGCGGGCGAUAAAAUUUCUCUUUUCUUUUUGUGUCAGUAGACAAAUAAACCACUAAAACAAUGGGUCUGCUUCAGUACACCCCCUCUCAAAAAUAAGAAAGAGUGGCUACGUUUGCUUCCCUAGGAAUAUAUUAUGUAUACACUCUUUCCUUUUCACGAAUUAACGUAUGUACAUUCCGUUUGUAAAAAAAAACAUCAAAUCAAAGUGUACCAAAUUCAUGUGCAUUUUUCUUGUCCAUUCUUGUCCUAUUUUUAUUUUCCCUCAAAACUGACGUCUUCAGAAUCGUGCCAUGAUUAAAUGCCUCUGAUUCUGAGUAACCACUUUGCCGGUCUCUGUGAUCCUACCAAACCCUAUACGUGUACUGUAUAUAGCUAGGCACCGGUCGCCUACACAAGGGACACCGCCUAAUCACUUGCACUCUUUUGACAACCUUUUAUUGCUCUUUUCGGCGAGCCAGUCGUGGCUCGCCCUGCGUCCCGACGCGACGUCUCCGCAUCCACCGAAACCACCGGCGCGGCACACCGGUUUACGAACUUAAUUCGUCUGGCUGCGCUGGGUCCGGCACGAGAUGGAAAACGACCUCGGUUCGAACGCUCAUUCAUUUUAUAUCAAGUGUUGCCACGGUCAUCUCUGCUAGCCAGGGUAAGAGUACUCCAUUCGUUUCUUUUUAUUUCGAAUGUUAGGUUUGUCUCAAGUAAAAAAAAAGUUUGAUUAAAACUAUAGAAGAAACUAUAAAUAUUCACAAUACCAAAACAAAAUUGCAUGAUAUUAGGGAGCUAUUAUAAAAUAUUAGGGAGCUAUUAUAAAAUAUUAGGGAGUAAAUAAAUUGCAUGGAUCUUCGAUCCAUUUAAAUCGAGGGAAACGCACAUGAUGAUUUCUCUUUACGAAAUAUGUAUGUGGCAAUCGUGUGACAGAUUGCAAAAACGACCUAACGCAUCAAGUGCCGUUCGAUUUGGAUCACGCGACGCGCAAGUCUUUGCUCGAACACCGCCACAAUCCUUCGUGCGACUGCAUCCCAACUGCCCCGACGCCCAGGCCUCCCUUCCAUCCACAAACAAGGCCACUAUCCACUCUUCCUCCCGACGAGGAGGCCCGUCGGCUUGCUUUUCCUUCCUCCUAAAGGCGACGCAGUCGUCGCCCCGCUCCUCCUUCGUCCUGCGGGCGACGAGGCGAUGGGACGGGAUCCCCCGGUGUGACCUUCCUAAUUGAUGCUCCACGGCGGCGCGAUGGAGAGGGGGUGCAACACCUCGACCUCCGCCAUGCGCAGCCGCCACGGGGCCGGCGCACCCGCUGUAGUCGCAUGACGCCGCCUUCCGCACCGACUAGGUCGUCGUCGUUCAUGGCCUUAUUUUCCUGAUGAAAUCCUUCAUGCACGCACGCUCACGCCGUUGUGGAAACGGGCUUUCCAUCGGGAGGCAGAGAGAGACACAGCCGAGCCAAAAUUAUCGGGCGGCUCGAGCAGCACACUUCGUACUGAAAAGCAGUGGACGGUGGUGAGGUUAUGUGUCUCAUGGCCUUAUAUCUGAAACUUGUGAAGAAAAGCAGCAGUUUAUUAACUGAACACUGGGCAUUUAGCACUCCACAUCCUCAUCAAACCGUCACCAAAUAGCAGAGAUCCUUUUUACCUCUUAUUAAUGCUUGAUCGUUACUCCUCCUGGUGCGUUGAUCAAGCAUAUGACUCACCUGUCUAUGUGGUUUCCGACGAGAGCAAUUUCUUUCUUUCUAUACGUUUAAGUCUGAACUUGUUGUUCUAAAACUGAAAGUUGACAAUCCAGUCUAAACUAGUUAUUCUGAAACUGAAACUUGACGCUUGGCUCAUGCUAUACUAAAAACCUCUGAACUUGACGCUUGGUCGUAUGAUAUUCUUUUUGUAGUAUGCAAAUGAACUACUGAAAAGGCGUACACUAUACUACUAACGAACCUCAAUUGUACUGCUGGAAUUAGGUUUGAAAACAUCUACUACUGAAUCUGAUAUGCUAAAGGACCUCUCAACCUCAUACACUACUAAAGAACAAGUUUCAGAACCUCAAACAAUACUAAAAGCCUCUGAACUUGAGGUUUAUACUACUAAAGACUUUGACACUUAUUACUAAAAAUCCCCAUAUUCUAUACUAAAUUCAAGCUUUCGGUGUUGAUCAUAUCUCUUUCCUCGUUUCAAAUGCUUUCCCAAGCUGGUGCGCCUCAUAAUCAUUCCCCGCUUGCUAUUCAAUUAUUUCGAAGUGCUGAAGAUAUCUCAGAAGAUUCAUGAUUCCAUUCUUAAUCCGUUCAAGCUAUUUCGAGGUUGUUAAAUCAUUCAAGCCAUUUAAUUCAACCGGUGCAAUCUUUCUUUCAAGCAGUCUUUUUAGAUGGUGUUUCUUUUGAGUGGGCCCUAACCCACAGGUCUUUUCCCAGGAUCUUACCUGACUCUUCUAAUUUUUCCGGAGCUAUUCUCAAUUCUUUUUAAAGUUUGACGUAAUAAUGAAUUAUCAUCAGUCAUAUGUCUUUCUUCAAGAUCUUUCAAAUUAUUUUCUUCUUUGGCUCAACCUUUUAUCUUUUCAUUCUCCCGGAGUGUCUAAUCGAUUCAUGGUGGUGUUUCUCAUCGUCAUUCUCUGCAUUUGAAGACCGAAGAAGAGCUUUCCUCCAAAUCUUGGUUCGUUCACUUGAAGAUGCAUGGUUCCAGCUUCAUGCCAUCCUCAUAACUGUUUUCUAUCAUGAGGGAUUCUUUUCAUAUCCAUCCGAAGCAAUUUAGGGGUCUUUUCAACUUGAUUCUCCGGAGCCCAUCAUCUUAGAAUUAUUCAUUCUCCUCUUUAAGCUCUCGUUUUCCAAAUAUUACCGGUUCAUCGCUCAAGUAUUCUCUAGUCAGCUCGUGAUCUCUUCAUUCUCUUGUAUCUAAAUUUCCCAAGUAUUUUUGUUCGUUUUUUAAUUCUUCCCGGUGAUUCGUCCCUUUGCUAUGUUCUAUUUCAAUUCCUACCGGUGGUUCGCUCAAGAUUCCUUUUUCCUUUGAUAUCAUAUCAAUUCAUUGUUCUUUCCAAAAUCCUACCCGUGGUUCGUGGACGAUUUUCCCAAGUUUACGCUAUAUCUCUUCCUAAUCCUUUCUCAAAUGAGAUAAGUAGUAUGCUAAAUCCUUUGCUUGUCAUCAUUUUAAAUUGAUGAAGGAUACACAUAACAUAAUUCUUAUUCUUGUUUCAUCCAAGGGAUUAAUACCUUCCUUCGGAGUUUCUUCAUGAUGAAGUAAUUCUCGGUUUCGAGUUGUUCAUCUUUUCUUUCCAGAGAUCCAAGUUCUCUCGGUUACUUCGUCACGAAGCUCCAUCUAAAUCAUUGCAAGGCUUCAAUCUUAUUCUUUCAUCCUCCACUUCUCAUCCUUUUGUUACCGGAGUUCUUCAUGCACUAGUAGAAAAAGGGUCUAAUGUGCAUCUCAUUAGUCCCGGUUUGAAAUUGAGCCGGCACUAAUGUGACCAUUAGUGCCGGUUCCAACGGCUAGGCAGGCCACUCUCUGUAGUACUAGUUCGUGGCGAACCUUUAGCUCCGGUUUGUGCCACGAACCGGUACUAAAGAGAGUGGUGGCAGGAUGUUGUCAGACUGGGGCUCCUCCAGCACCUUUAGUACCGGUUCGUGCCAUGAACCGGUACUACAUGUCAUCCUACAUAUAAACCCUUCGUCCAGCUCACUCUGUUCUUCCCCCUUUCCCCUCUCCUCUUUGUUCUUCCCCUCUUCCCCUCGAGCUCAUCACACAUUUUGCCCAAAUUUUGUCAAGAUUUGAAGGCCCCGAUCGAUUCAAGUGAUCACAAAGGUUAGCAACUUUGUCCUUUCAUCUCUCAUUGCUAGAUUAGCUCUUGCAAUGCUUUAUAUAGUGAUUAAUUUGUGGGUUUUAGUAAUUUGGGAGGAAUUAUAUGUGGUAGUUUAUUUGAUUUAUAUGCAAUUUGAGCUUAAAAUAACUCUUAGUUUGCAUAUGUAGGUGUGGUUUACUUAGUGCCUUCCCGUCUCCAUCGUAACCACCGUCGAUCGUCCGCACCGACCUAUCGCCGGCACCACCUUGUGGUUAGCCUCUUGUUCUUAUCUUUUUUAUAUAAAAAAAAUCAUGUUUGUGUGAUUUAUAUAUAUAGUUACUUGUAUAAUUAUCUUACCCGUACGUUGUUUGUUAUACAUAGUGCCAUGGUUUUGAUAUCCGUCCCCGUCGGCCCUCGUCCGUGUUAUGAUUUAGAUGUGGUAUAUUCUCUUUUAAAACUAUUUGUUGCAUUUCGUGUUUAUGACAAAUUAUGCCCAUCAAGUUGACAUAGAUAUUUUUAUCUAGGAGGUAUGUGAACCAGAAAUACCAACCGACCCUAUUGUCGAGAGGUUAAAUUUAGUUGAAAGAGAAAACGAGUAUUUGAAAGAAAAAUUGAAAAGAAUUGAGGGGGAGAAGAUGGAAUUGGAGUUGCAUGUUGCCGAUGUCGUCGAUGAUCACAAGAUCAAGAUGGAGAAAAUGCAGUUGAAGAUUAGAAAGAUUAGAAAAUAUGCCAUUGAUAGUGAUGCUUGGUAUCAUUAUGCUGUUGGAUCAAUUAUUACCUUAGUUGCGAUCUUGAUCACAUUUGUUGUUACAUUUAAAUGCUUUAGCUAGAGAGUUAUUUGUAUGUUGCAUUUAAGUGUUGUAUGAACUUUAUGUAUGAACUAGUAUUAAUUUGGUCUAUUCGGUGGUGUGUAACGAAGAUGAGCCAGCAAUGGAUGUACGAUGACUGAUGCUCUCCCCAGUUCGUUGAUGGCGUGCAUACUCUUCUGAUUGUGGCUCAGGCAAACAAUCGGGUGGAUGGUUUUAUGCCUUGUCAACGUGCUGGCUGUAAGAAUGAUCACAAUUACUCUAACUCAAGAACCAUUCACGUCCACCUGUUUGAGUCCGGUUUCAUGCCCCACUAUAAUGUUUGGACCAAGCACGGAGAAAGAGGGGUUAUGAUGGAAGACAAUGAAGAAGAUAAGGACGACAAUAGCUAUCCUGGCCAUGGGUUCCCUGAAUACGACGAUACAACAAUGCGAGAAGAAUCUGAGCCGGCAAUGCGAGAAGCUGAAGAAGAGGCAUCAGAUGAGCCCACUGAUGAUCUAGGUCAGGCCAUUGCCGAUGCAAAGAGAAACUGCGCAAGUGAAAAGGAGAAGAAGAAGUUGCAGCGCAUGUUAGAGGAUCAAAAGAAAUUGUUGUACCCGAAUUGCAAAGCUGACAAGAAAAAGUUGGGCACCACACUGGAAUUGCUGCAAUGGAAGGCAGAGAAUGGUGUAUCUGAUAAGGGAUUUGGAAAGUUGCUGGUAAUGAUAAAUAAUAUGCUUCCAAAGGACAACGAAUUGCCCGAGAGUACGUACGAAGCAAAGAAGGAUUCUGCUCUCUAGGUUUAGAGGUGUAGAAGAUACAUGCAUGCCCUAAUGACUGCAUCCUCUACCACGGUGAGUACGAGGAUUUGAACGCGUGCCCGGUAUGCGGUGCAUUGCGCUAUGAGAUUAGCCGCGAUGACCCUGGUGAUGUCGAGGGCGAGCGCCCCAGGAAGAAGAUUCCUGCCAAGGUGAUGUGGUAUGCUCCUAUAAUACCACGGUUGAAACAUUUGUUCCAAAACAAAGAACAUGCCAAGGCGAUGCGAUGGCACGGAGAAGACCGUAAGAAAGACGGAAAGUUGAGAGUACCCGCUGAUGGGUCGCAGUGGAGAAAAAUCGAGAGAAAGUACAUGGAGGAGUUUGAAGGUGACCCAAGGAACAUGUGGCUUGGUCUAAGCGCAGAUGGCAUUAAUCCUUUUGGGGAGCAAAGCAGCAACCAUAGCACCUGGCCUGUGACUCUAUGUUUGUAUAACCUUCCUCCUUGGUUGUGCAUGAAGCGGAAGUUCAUUAUGAUGCCAGUGCUCAUCCAAGGCCCUAAGAAACCCGACAACAAAAUUGAUGUGUACCUAAGGCCAUUAGUUGAAGAACUAUUAUAGUUGUGGAAUGUAAAAGGUGUACGUGUGUGGGAUGAGCACAAACAGGAAGAAUUUGACCUAAAGGCAUUGCUGUUUGUGACCAUCAAUGAUUAGCCUGCUCUCAGUAACCUUUCAGGACACACAAACAAGGGAUACCGCAGAUGCACGCACUGUUUGUAUGAUACCGACAAUAUAUAUUUGGAUAGUUGUAGGAAGAAUGUGUACCUGGGACAUCGUCGAUUUCUUCCGAGCAGGCAUCCUAUAAGAAAGAAAGGCAAGCAUUUCAAAGGUGAGGCGGAUCACCGGAUGAAGCCUCGCCACCAUACAGGUGCUGAUGUACAUGAUAUGGUCAAGGAUUUGAAGGUAAUCUUUGGAAAGGGUCCUGGCAGACAACCUGUUCCAAAGGACGCUUACGGACGCGCACCCAUGUGGAAGAAGAAAUCUAUAUUUUGGGACCUGCCCUAUUGGAAAGACCUAGAGGUCCGCUCCACAAUCAACGUGAUGCACGUGACGAAGAAUCUUUGUGUGACCCUGCUUGGCUUCUUGGGCGUGUAUGGGAAGACAAAAGAUACACCGGAGGCACGGGAGGACCAGCAACGUAUGCACGGAAAAGAUGGCAUACAUCAGGGUCAUGCCACCUAUGCUCUUGCCAAAGAAGAGAAAGAAAUCUUCUUUGAAUGCCUGCUCAGUAUGAAGGUACCAUUUGGCUUCUCGUCGAAUAUAAAGGGAAUAAUAAAUAUGGCAGAGAAAAAGUUCCAGAGCCUAAAGUCUCAUGACUGCCACAUGAUUAUGAUGCAACUACUUCCGAUUGCAUUGAGGGGGCUUCUGUCAGAAAACGUUCGAUUAGCCAUUGUGAAGCUAUGUGCAUUCCUCAAUGCAAUCUCUCAUAAGGUAACCGAUCCAGAAAUCAUACCAUGGUUACAAAAUGAUUUGGUGCAAUGUCUUGUCAGUUUCGAGUUGGUGUUCUCACCAUCCUUCUUCAACAUCAUGACGCAUGUCCUAGUUCACCUAUGCGAAGAAAUUAACAUUUUGGGUCCUGUAUUUCUACACAAUGUGUUCCCCUUUGAGAGGUUCAUGGGAGGCUUGAAGAAAUACGUUCAUAACCGUGCUAGGCUAGAAGGAAGCAUCGCGAAGGGCCAUGAAAAUGAGGAGGUCAUUGAGUUUUGUAUUGACUUUAUUCUCGACCUUAAGCUGAUUGGUAUUCCUGAAUCGUGGCAUAAGGGCAGACUGGAUGGAAAAGGCACGCUCGGAGGGGUUCAAAUAAUAUGUACAGACGGGCAUUCUCUCACUGAAGCACGCUACAUAGUUCUACAGAAUUACGCCUUGGUGGCUCUGUAUAUGGAGGAACACAAGAAUUUUCUACGCUCCAAACACCCGGAGUAGUCUGACGACUGGAUUACACGUGAACAAACGGGGACUUUCGCCGGUUGGUUGCAGACACGUGCCAUGCAUGACGGCGAUAUUGAAGAUGACAUGUACUUGCUGUCCCAGUUACCAUCUUCGAAUAUAAUGACUUUCAAAGGGUACGAGAUAAAUGGGAAUACAUUUUACAUGAUCGCCCAAGAUAAGAAGAGCACCAACCAAAACAGUGGUGUCCGCUUUGAUGGAACAACCAAGAUGGGAAAGGAAACAUAUUAUGGUUACAUAGAGGACAUAUGGGAACUUGACUAUGGACAUGUUUGAAGGUCCCUUUGUUUCGGUGUAAAUGGGUAAAUAUGACACGAGGCGGGGUAACGGAAGACCCACAGUAUGGAAUGACAACAGUGGAUCUCAACAAUCUUGCGUAUGCAUACGAACCAUUCAUCCUUGCCAAUGAUGUGGCGCGGGUUUUCUAUGUGAAAGACAUGUCUACCAGGCCAAGAAAAAGAAAAGAUAAGGAAGCGAAUGCAUCAUACGAUGAGCCAAAGCGCCACAUAGUUCUUUUAGGAAAAAGAAACAUCGUGGGAGUGGAUGACAAGACAGACAUGUUAGAAGAUUAUGAAAAGUUUGAUGAAAUUGCUCCAUUCACAGUGAAUAUUGAUUCGAGCAUCCAGUUAAAUGAUGAAGAUUGUCCUUGGUUACGGUGCAAAGGGACACACUCGAAGAAAAAGUUUCACACCCAAAGAUCCCACUCUGGGAUGUGAUAGGCUUCACCGUCAUCACUUUCUUUUCUAGUGACUUUCCGGACUUAUAUAUCUGGAAAUCUUUGUAAUAGUUAGGGUACUUAUGUGUUUUGGCAUUUGAAACGCGAAGAAAUUUUUAUGUGCAAACAAAUUCUUCCAUGCAUUUACGGCAAAAACUGGAUGCACUUCUUCUACAAAUUAGUUCGUCAAAUAAUUCAAAUUUAAACUAUUCAAAUUUGAAAACUACUGGCACUAACAGAAAGUUUGUAGUUUUUUGUACCUAACGAAAAAAUAUUCAGAAAUAAAUAAAUGAAAAUAAAUUAAGUAGAAAAUAAAAAAACUAAAUAAAAAAGCCCACCUACUGGGCCACAGUGGCCUGCAUACGACUAGAAACCCAACCAGUAGUUGGGCCAGGAUGCAGGCCCGCAAGGCCCAAUAGGCCCAUAGGGAAGAGCGGCAGAGUUAGGCCCAGAAGCCUGCUACAAAGAGGAGUUCAACAGAGCUGCCGCACUGGGGCUUUUAAACAUGUGCGGGCGCCCCUCGGCUAGCGAGGUGGGACUAAACUUGCCCGCACCGCACCUGCGCCAGCGCACACCUUUAGUACCGGGUCGUGGCUCCAACCAAUACUAAGGGGGGGGUCUUUAGUACCGGUUGUAGCCACCACCCGGUACUAAAGGGGGUGCGCUUCCCACCGCUUCGCCUGGCCAAAACAACCCUUUAGUACCGUUUGGUGGCUACAAUCGGUACUAAAGGGGGGUUUUAUAUAAGAAACACUUCAAAAAAAUUCAGUUUCUCAUCUCUCCCUCUGCUUCUUCUCCUCUGCCCCAUCGCCGCUGCCCCUCGUCGCCGCCCCCGUCGCCGCCCUGUUGUCGCCCAUCGCCGGCCCGUCUGUCGCUGCACCGGCCCGUCGCCGUCCCCUCUGCCUCGCCGUCGCCGUCGCCGUCACCUCGACCUCGCCCGUGUUGUGAGCCCCUCUCCCCGGCCCCUCUCCUCCCUCCAAUCGAACAUGCCGCGCCACCGGCGCCAUUGGUGCACACGCGCACGCGCGUGCGCACCCACACACAUGAUUUUGUUUUUAGUUUUUUCUGUUUUAUACAAAUGUUUUAGAUGAAUUAAUUAAUUAGAUUAGAUUAAUGUCAAAUAGUAUAUAGAAAUGUUAGAAAUGUUAUAGAAAUGUUAGUUUUAGCUAGAUGAAUUAUAUUAAUUUCAAAUUGUUAUAGAAAUGUGAGAAAUGUUAUAGAAAUGUUAGUUUUUAGUUUCUUAUAAUUUUAGUUAUAGAAAUUUAGAAUUUGCAUAUAAGAAAUCACAAUCCAAUCAUGUAAAAAAUGUUACUUUUGUGGCGUAUAGUAUUUGUUCUCGACGAUGCCCGGCCCGCAUCCUCGCCGUCAACCCGUUCACGACGACGUCCUGCUUCAGAGGACCCAUGUCCGGGACUGGGCUCCGCUAGGCUGGCACUGGUAGGUGCUACCUUCAGGGGCUCGCCGCUUGGUGAGGAACCCGGGUCCCAUCGUCGACCUUGAGCUCCUUUGGUGGUGUUCCCGUGGGCCACUUUCGGUGCGGAGGGAGCCGGCCCCGUCGGAAGUGGUGCGUCGCCGUGUCAGGGAGGAGGACGAGCAUGUCCGUCGCUACAUGGGCUCUAUGGACAUCAGGUUCUCCAAUACCUGGCAGGGUCUUUGGGAGAUGAUCGGAGCUAUGAUCCUGUGAUGGUUCCUUCUCUUUGGGUGUCCACUGCCCGUGCCUCAGGAACCACGAGUGGCCUCUAUUAUUCUAUAGUAUUUGAUCUUUAUUAGCUAGCUAGCUAGUGAUGUAUUCAAUAUAUAAUAUUCAAGAUGAUGUAUUCGAGAUUAUAUAUUAUUCGAGACGAUGCAUAUUAUGUACUAUGAUUCAGGAUUUCCUUAUUGAUUGCAUGCAUGCGUUGUAAUUUGAAUACUAAAUUGUUUUAUAUUUCUUCUAGAUUAGUUAAAUAAAAUCUAUGGCGGACAAUACCGGAAGAGAGGGAGAAGAGGCCCUAUUCAAGAUCAUACGCUCCCCUCGCUCGCCAGAUGAUCGAAAUGAAGAAGAUGACGGCUCCCAAUAUAUGAACAAUAUAGGGGAGGGUGAUGAUAUGAUAUUCGAUCACGACGACCGAAUUGAUGAAGUCAUGGACGACGACUAUGAUUAUGAUGGCGAAGAAAAUAUUGAUCUUGAAAUAACAGAGACUGGUGAGGUAUAUUUAUAUAAGCAGGCAUCUGGUGAUCAUCACAUGUUUUAAAUGAUUUGAAGAUAUAAUAACGAAUCGAUGUUUCUUCUUUCAGCCCUCCGGAUCGAGCAAAUCUUCUACAGGCAGAGUGCGAGGCCCGGGCAAAAAGUUGAAGGAGGGUGUAAACUACAACAUCGAUGCCAUCAAAACUAAUGGCGAACCAAUAGCGCCUAAGAACAUUGCAAACAAGUUCGUUCGUCAGUGCAGAGUUCUUGUGAAGGACCAACUCCCGAUGUCCCUUCAAGAAUGGAAAGAGCCAACAAAGAAACGUCUAGAUCUUACUUUUAUCAACGACAGAGCAAAAACUAUGCUUUGGGAAAAUCUCAUGGAACAUUUCUCCCUACCAGAUCAUUUCACAGCUGCAGAUGUGGAGAAAGUCAAGGAUGGUGCUCUUAGGAAGAUGGAAAUUGCAUUCAACAACCACAAGAAAACUGUAUGGAAUAACUACAUCAAAGGAGGAAAGAAGACUCCAGAAUUCAAGGGAAAACUGGAGAAGCAAAGAGAACACUGGCCCGCUUUCGCGAAAUUCAAGGAAUCAGAAUUAUCUAAGGAAUGGUCCAGAAAAAACAAGGCCAAUGCCGCAAAAAAGGAGCAAUUCCAUAGGCUGGGGCCAGGUGGCUAUGCGGUGACAAUGCCUAAGUGGGAUAAGUCUGAUCAAGAGAUGCUGGCUACACAGGUCACUCUAGUUACAUUGAGCUGGCCCCCAGGUGCAGAACUUGGUUCUAUGUGCAUAGGGGGCGUUGGACCCGAAGACAGCCAGGUUUCGAAGAAGGCAUGUCUUAAAGGAGCCGAUGUUAAGUUACUUGAAGCAAUAGAAGAUGCUCGAAAGGGGGUGUUCAUGCCCAAUAGAGAGAACGACAAGCGUUGUUCCAUGGUAUGAGGGCCCUGGGAAAUCCUAAACACUCGGGAAGAACACGAGGCAAGGGCGUUGUUCUAUGGUAUGAGGGCUUUUCUGACUGGAACACCGACUACAGAAGUCGUGCGAGAAGGAAGAUGGAGGAGGAGAAGAAUAAGAAGCUGGAGGACGAGCAGAGGAAGCAGGAAGCAGAACGCCUUCAAGGCCUAGAAUCAGCGCACGCGGACUUGGUACUCAAAUUCCAGCGGCAACAACAGCAGAUCGACUCACUUAGCCAGGAAAGGGGGUCUCAGCAGUGGCAGCAACUAGUAGAUGAUCCAGCAUUGGAUAGCACCAUCCCAUCCAUGCCGAGAAGCAGCGUGGGUACCGCCCCGGGCGAUGCACUACUGGAUAGAUACCCUGUGGAUGACAUCAUGGACAACACUAACUAUGAGCUACACUUCAAAGUAAAGAACAUAUUCAUGAAGGUGGCGAACGCCGUUGCUUAUACAAAUCCCCCCGGAGCAACCUUUCAUUGCAGAACGAUUCCAGCCGACUAUGCUCGUGUCGUGGUUGAUGAGGUGGUGGACCAAUAUUCAGGGCUACAUAUUGACAUUCCUAGAGGUGACGAGGAGCACACACUGGGAGAGGCCAUACAUCGUAUCAUCCUAUGGAGAAAGGAUUGCAUCAUCUUUUGAAGGCCACCGACACCGCGUCAGCUAGAUCUUGACAUCCCAGGAGGUGACGAGGAGUAGACGACUCCCGCUCCUCCUAGUCAGGCACAACUUCGGGCCACUCCUCCUGCUUCAACUCAGCCAACAUGUGAGGCCACUCCUCCUGCUUCAAAUCAGCCAACGCGUGAGGCCACUCCUCCUCCUCCUCCAAGUCCACCAAUGCGUGCCACUCCUCCUCCAAGUCCGAUAUCGUGUUAGCCAUCUCCGCUGCCUCAGCAAUCGCGGAAGAGAGCCGCCACAGCUAUGGUGCGUAGUGCUACAAGUUGAGGUAGUACAGGAGGUACAGGCGGAGGCAAGCGAUUUCAAUAUGGUCCAAGCCUUGGGCCUCUUCCGCAGAGGCCUUACAACAUGACCAAGGAGCAAAAUGAAGCCAUAGUGAAGGUCCAAGUGGACGCCCAUUUUGGACCGAAACCGCCACCGCCGCCAAGGGAGAAAGUGCCUGAGGAUAAGAUUGGCCGCUUUAUUCAUAUGGCUAAAGCACCAGCUCCCAAGCGUGUUGACUCAGACUAUGAGCGCCAAAUAGGAAGGCACAUCGAGCACGACAAAAGGAGUCGAGCUCGAGCUCGAGCCAAGCAGCUGGCCAAAAAUGCGGGAAAACCGUUCCCCAACUAGGAGAACAGGCAGCGCAAUCGAUCCCCCCACUUAUUGUACCAACACAUGAGAGUACCGGCGCCGGUCAGCUGGUAAUAACUGACGAGCAUAGAAGGCAGGCUGAAAUGUUCGGUAUCACUGUUGGACAACUCCUCAAGAUUGAGCCCAUGCCUCUGCUUAGAGAGGAGGGCAUAAAAUGGAAAUAUGUCUGCGGCCAACCUUUGGUCAAGCCUGAGGAGGUCAAGAACUUCCCAACGAGAAUGUAUGAAAUGCAUGAUUGGUACAUGAAAAUUACCAAGAGUUCCAAUCGAGAGUCCCUCAUGGUGAAAGUCAAGGAAGAGUAUUCAUAAAUAUUUUAGUUAUUCAAUCAAGACGCACUCGACAAAGCUCUCGUCAGCUGCUAUUGUCUGUAAGUGAUUUCUUUCUAUAAUUUAAGUCUCAAGCUAGUUGUAGUGCUCAUUGAUCGAUCAUUACCUGUAAUUAUCCUCACUAUAUUCUUUUCUGUGGUAUUAUGCAGGAUGAAGAUGUAUGAAAUGAAAAAAGGUGGACGCUAUGGCAUUGGGUUCAUUGACCCAAAUACCUUUAAUAACAUGGACAUAUCCAUGGUAUCAAGCUGAAGUAGAGAAAAAAAGCUACAGUUCUUGAAUCGCCUCAAUACCAAUGAAGAUAUACUACUUCCUUACAACUUCCUGUGAGUCACACUGUCUUGUAGUACAAAUUUUGUGUUUACUUACUAGCUAGCUAGAUUUUAAUAAUUAAGUGUAUAGGGUUUAUGGUAGUUGAUGAGUGUUAUGCACAUGCCCGCUUAAUUAAGACAUGCAAACGUGUGUGCAUGCAGUUACCAUUGGAUCUUGUUAAUCAUUUAAUUUGACGAAGGAACAGUUGAAGUACUGGACUCACUACUUAAAAAAGUGACUACUCAAUCGUGAAGGGGAUAGUCGAUAGGUAAUUUCAAUCAUUAUUAACUAUAUUGUUGGCCUCUUUAGUUCGUCAUUUCCUGAUAUCAACUAUUUAAUAACUCGUUUAUUCAUUUUCUUUGCCGGCGGGCAGGGCUUGGGAAAAGUUCAGGAAUGAGGUUCCAGGUCCAUGGAAAGAAAAGUUGCAUUGGUUUCGACCCAAGGUAUAAUUAAUUAAGUAGUACUAGCUAGCUACCAUGCAUCUUUUUAAUUCUAGUUUCAAUACCAUUAAUUAUCAUGCUUGAUUAAUUAUUAUCUGAUUAAAUUCUAUUCUCGUAAAGGCCCUGAAUCAGGCAAAGGGGACUGAUGUGUGUGCAUACUACGUUUGCGAGAACAUUCGCAUGAUGGCGUUGGAAAGGACCAAAUCUGAUAGAUAGCUAUGGGUACGUUUGACAGAACAAUAUUCACAAUUUUUACAUCAUUAUCGAUAUCUAGUCACAUAACUAAUACACAUGCAUAUUGAUCUCCUUCUUAAUAGUUUGAUUCGGUGCGGGAGACGCUCCUACCAGAGGAGCGCAUACGAGUACUUCAAGAGGAAAUAGCGGGAUUUUUGCUCGACCAGGUCAUAGAUCCCAAAGGGGAAUUCUAUUACCAGCUACUGCCCCCAUGAACCACUCCCAAUUGUCAUCGUUCUCCGCAGGCACCAAGGCAAAUGCCACUGGCUCUGAAGGCAACAUGUAGGAGAAAUUGUAUAUAUACCUAAUUGUAUAUAUAUACAUGUGUAUGUGUGUGAAUAAUGGUGGUUAAUUGUGAGACAUUCACUACAAAAAAAUACACUUCCGUGAUGAUAUGUGUUUGUCACAAUAGGUCGCAUUUUUUUUCAUGCAUGUACAUCCAUGACGAUUUUAUGACAGAAUCAAGAUAGUCAUACCUGUGCUGUCGUAGAAGUGUUCCAUGACAUUACCAAAAUUAUCAUCACGAAAGUGUCCACUUCCAUGACGAUAAAUCGCACGUCACAGAAGUGCUUUCGUCAAGGGUGACCGACACGUGUCAUCCACCGUAAUGGAACGCUGUUAAGCUAUCGGGGCAGGUUUUGGAUCCGAUAACCCAUUAACAACCACGACCAAUGGGGAUUUUCCACGUGUAAAAUCAUCAUUGGCUGGAGGAAACACGUGUCGGUUCAUCGUUGGGACAGAUGUCAUCCACUCAUUGGACAGAAGGCGUCUAUGAUACGUCGACACAUGGCAUGCCCCAACACAGGCCCAUUCCUGUGAAAAGGUCGGCCCGUUUGACCUGGUCAAAAGGUGGCGGGCCGUCCCAUGGAAAGCUUGUUAAUGGCAUGUUCGCAUAUAGCCCAUUUAUAGCCCGCUAACCCAAGGCCCGUUAUGCCCUACCCGAAUUAGGCCCAGUAGCGUCAUCUGGGCCAUCCAAUAUGAUUCCAACUUGUUUUCACUUCUAGCCCAUGAUGUCUUUCGGCCCAUAUGAGGCCCUUUGUAACUCUUAGCCUAUUAAUGGCCCGUGGUGAAACUAGCCCGUAAUGAACAGUGUAUCACUUUACACCCAUUAACGACCCGUGGUGAAACUGGCCCAUAAUGAACAGUGUAUCACCUUAAACCCAUUAAUGGCCCGUUAUUCCGUUGGGCCGUUUCCAUCCCAUGUUAUCUUUCAGCCUUCUCAGAGCCCAUUUAUUCUUGGGCUCAUUUCCAGCAUUCGUUUACUUACGGCCCGUUACUGUCAUUUUCUGCUUGCGGGCCAAAUUCAGCCCGUGGUUACAGUCGGCCCGUUUUCAUAGCGUCAUCGAAUAUGGCCUAUUAACGGUGGCCCGUUAUGGUCGGCCCAUGAACGGACGAUUCCAACUCUAGCCCGUUGACGACCAUAAUGCGGUCUGUUUGGCCCAUGUUUGGCCAAUCGAUCAUACGACCCGUAUAAGGCCCAUUGAUGAUACAGCCUGCAGAAGGCCCAUUGUUUCUAUGGCCCGUAGAAGGCCCACUUUUUCUACGGCCAGUAGGAGGCCCAGUGUCACUACAGUAAAUAUUAGCCCAUGGUUAUUGUGGCCUAGUUUUAAAAAUUAGGUUAUUGCAGCCACUAGCAAACCGCGGAAAAAGAACUGCAAUGACUACAAGCAAACAAAUAAACAAGACAGUAAGGAAAUAAAUAAGCAAGCAACUAACGCUAGGCUAUCACGGCUAUUACACAUAUUACAUCCACUGGGCAUCAAAGUUCGCCAACAGUGCAAAUAUAGGGAACAAAGCAGCAUAUCAUAUACAUUGGUUGUCAAAGUUGGCGACCAGCGCAAAUAAACGCCGAAGCAAAACAAAUCCAGAACUGAAACCACUUCAGAAGAUCUCAAGAAACAAUAUCCUGGGUACCCAUAAUGCUGGCAAGAUGCUUAGCAAGCUUAUUAACUUUCUCUUGUUUGGCGCUUAAAUCCUCCAGCGCUUGCCGUUGCACCAGGAAAUAUGCAUUUGAAUUAUGCAGGGACUUCCUCAGUCCUUCAGCUUCCUGUCGCAGCACAUCUGAUCGAUGUCUUUCAACUUGAAAUUGAGACUCAAGAAGACGAACUGAUUCAGGCAGCAAGUUCGAAGAGCUUGUGCCAGCAGUAGUGGCCAUUAACUCAAACACUACAUCAAGACAGGACUUUUGGGUUCUCUCACUAUCGUCAAGAUAGUUUUUAUCAGCUUUCUUAGAGACCAACAGGGAUGUCUCACUAUCUUGAACCUUAUCUGCAUUACUUCCUUUACCAUUGGAUAACGCGGUACUGUUCUCCAAUAUUUUGUCCGCAUUCUGAAAGAGAAACAAGCAGACACAUCACAUGUUUACCAUGUUGUAUAUGAAACUCAUUUUGGUAAAUGAGUUCAGUAGUAAAGUGGAUAGGAUAACAGCAUAAAACAAACAUAUAUCUAUGUACCAUGGUCACUUUAUGGUCUAUAUCAUUCUAGUUUUUGUUGCCAAAUCAAGAUAGAGACACAAUUCAAAUAAUAUUUGUUCAAGACAAAGCAGAAUAGACAGAAUAUAAGUGUGGGUAACUAUAGAGCAAUAACAACACUUGUAAUGUGCAUGACAUGAGAACACAACUGUUUAUUCAAUUGAAACUGAAAUCAACAUAGAGCAGGUUACAACAGCAAACCAGUUAAGGAAACAAGUUUAAAACAUACCUGUUGCGCCAUUGGAGUUUCAAUUCCAUCCUUCAAAUUUUAAAAUAGUUGGUAUGAGUAAAUACAGUAAUGCAAGAGCAAAGGAGUAUGAACCAUAGCUACAGAACCUGACCUGAGAACAAAUCUUCUUCUCCUUUAAGCGUUGAGUUGGGAUUCGGAGUGGUGGUCCUCGUGCUUUGGGCACUGCAGUUCCCUUACUAACUGCUCAUGUUUGGGUGCUCUGUGGUGGAGACGGUGUUGUGUCAACUGGAACUGGGUUACUAUCUGCCGGGGUUGGGGUUAGAAGGGGUGUAGCUGGUUCUCUGUCCAACUGGGUAGGGGUAAAAUCUGCGAGAGUCUGGGUUAUGUGUGGUGGAUCUGGUCCUUGGGCAAGUACAACCGUGGUUCUAUCCUGCUUCAACUGGUAGCACUAUCUUUUCUGAAGACCGUGUUGUUACUCCCUUAGAUAUUGCCAUCACGCUCUCCAAUUCAAAUGGCUGAUAAACAAGAAAAGUAAUUGAAAGUAUAGAUAUUGUAUGAUAGAUAGGUGCAAUGGAUAGUGGGGAAUAAAAGAGGGCAUGAAAUAAUUCAUAUUUAUGUUGUCUAACCAAACAGGAUAGCAUGACACAAUUUCACAUAUAUGAUGGCUAACUAAACAGGAUAGCAUGACACAAUUUCACAUUAUGAUGGCUAACUAAAAAAGAUAGAAAGACAUAGUUCAAAAUAUGAGACUAUGUAAACAGGAUGACAUGACAUAACUAUAUAAUGUGUUUAUUAAAUAGGUUGGCAUGCCAUAAUUCACAUACAUUCACGGAUAGAAUGCCAUAAUUCAAAAUAUGAUGACUGUAAACACUAAACAGGAUGAUAUGCUAUAACUAUAUGAUGUCUCUAUUAAAUGGGUGCCCAUGCCAUAAUUCAGAUAGAUGAUGUGUAUGUACUAUGUAAACGUGAUGGCAUGAUAUAAUUCAAAUAUAUGAUUUAUAUAGUAAGCAAGUAAGCAGAUGGCAAUCCAUAUAUGAUGUAAAAACUAAGCAAUGCAAGACAACAUGCAUGACAUGGGUAAUAUAACCCUGCCAAUUUUGAGCAUAGACCUCAGGGGGAAAUAGGACUGGUCAUCAUUCUCUGAAUCCUCCUCUGAGGAGCUCUUUGUAACUAGCAAGAUGUCUGCUUCAGCAGGUAGCAUUGUCUGCUCUGAAUAUCGUGUUUUCACUCCAGAUACUUCCAUCACCGCUUCAAAUGGCUAAUGUACAGGAAGAGUAGUUGAAUAUACAAACGUUGUCGACAAAUGGAACACGUGAUACAAAAAAAUCAUAGCAUGAUAUAAUUCACAUACAUGAUGAUUGGCUAAACAGCAUGGCAUUGCAUAAUUCACAUAUAUAAUGCCUUUGCAACAAGAUAGCAUUGUAUAAUUCACAUAUAUAAUGUCUUGCAACAAGAUGGCAAUGCAUAAUUCACAUAUAUGGUAAUUAGACACUGAACAGGUGGCAUUCACACAAAGCAUGUCUAAACUAAUCAAAUGACAUAGCAANNNNNNNNNNNNNNNNNNNNNNNNNNNNNNNNNNNNNNNNNNNNNNNNNNNNNNNNNNNNNNNNNNNNNNNNNNNNNNNNNNNNNNNNNNNNNNNNNNNNNNNNNNNNNNNNNNNNNNNNNNNNNNNNNNNNNNNNNNNNNNNNNNNNNNNNNNNNNNNNNNNNNNNNNNNNNNNNNNNNNNNNNNNNNNNNNNNNNNNNNNNNNNNNNNNNNNNNNNNNNNNNNNNNNNNNNNNNNNNNNNNNNNNNNNNNNNNNNNNNNNNNNNNUAUCUGUAACCAGCGAGAUAUGCGCUUCGUCAGAUAGCAUAGUCUGCUCUGAAGACCUUGUUUUCACUCUAGAAUUUUCCAUCACCAUGUCAAAUGGCUGAUGCACACGAAGAGCAGUUGAAUGUACUAAGAUUGUUGACAAAUGUAAUAUGUAAUGGGAAAAAACGGAUGGCCUGAUAUAAUUUACAUAUAAGAUGACUGGCUAAGUAGGAUGGCAUUGCAAAAUUCACAUAUAUGAUGCCUGGCUAAACAAGAUGGCGUUGCAUAAUUCACAUAAACGAUGAAUAAACUAAACAGAUGGCAUUCACACAAAGGAUGUCCAAACUAAGAAGAUGACAUAUUUGAUGUAUAAAGUAAGCAAUGCAAGCCACCAUAUACAUGAUAUAACCAACAUCAGCAUGCCAAGUUAGAGCGAAGACCUCAGGGGGUAAAUAGGAGUUGUCUUCUCCUUCUGAAUCCCCCUCAGAACAGAUAUCUUCCUCUCGAUUACAAUCCAAAAUGCGUGGAAGGGGGCUGCCUUUGCGCCUACCAUGGAGCGACGUCUGCAUGAAAUUUUAUUGCCAUGCAAGGCUCAUCUCUUUUGCUCUACAUGUUUAGUUCCAUUGUUUACAAUAACUGUCAUGCAUAGGAAUAAAACAUAGUGAGAUUAUGUAAGGAGUGCAUGCAGAAAACCAGAGUGAUGGUAGCAACCUGUGGAUAGACCCAAAACUAAUAAUAGCAGGCAGAUAAUGGCUUCAGUUAAAAAUAUAGAUAAUGGCUUCUUUACUGUUUGUUUCCCACCCAACAUGAAACUCAUAGUAGACACCGGAGAUUAACCAGAUAGUAGAUAGAUACUAUUGAUAGCGUCCCCGAUAUGUACCCCACAACCAUUUAAAAACUCAAGUUUGACCAUUAGUUUAGAGCUGACUCGGAGUCUAAUCGGUGAAUAGGACGAUAAAGUAGCAUGUAAUAUUAAGCAAUGCAUAACGUAAGCAGACACGAAAGAGUGCGACCUCUCUUGUGGACCCGUGUAGUCGUCGAGGUCAUCUUUUCGGUUGAUGAUGGUAAUGCAGUUUUCAUGGCUGCCGGCGGCGGGGAAGAAGAUCUGAGGUGGCGAAACAAAAUCUGGAGGCCGGAUCCCUGCUGUGCUGGACCCUUCUGUCGUUGGAGCAGCGGAGUUGGGCUGGACAAUGGCGCAGCAGGAGCGGGACAAACCACACAAGGUUUUCUUUGACAACUAUCUAUAAGAGAAGUAAUUUUGUAAGGGCUCGGUUGAAUUGGAGGAUUCCAACAAUGUAGGGAUAGGAAAUAGACAGGAAUAGGAUAGGAAUGCAGGUGCAAAACAAAGAAUUUAAAAACACAGGAUUUCUGCCAAUCUGGGUGUUUGAUUCACAACAAUUGGAAGAUCACAGGAUGCAAAGAAGCAUGGUGAGAUUAAGUCAAACCAUAAGAAAAUGUACGUUUAUAAUGCUAUUAUGCUACUAUCUCUUAGUCUUCUGCUUCGUGAAUAGGAAUUUGAAAAGGAGGACAAGUGAAAAUUAAAAUUCAUAUGUUUUUUCUUUCAAGGAGACACUAAAGGAACAAAUCCGUGUGCUUAAUGGACAAUAUAUAUAACAUGUAGAGCAAAAAAGAGAUGCAACAAGUGUACAACCUCUUUGGCGAAGCCAUGUCGAUCUCAGCAUGAUUGGGUUGGCAGGUCAGGAUGCUCCGGCUGACUUUGCUGUCGAAGGAGGGGAAGAAGAUCUUAGGCGUCUGGAGAUGGAGCCCGAGGUACUGCUCCACUGUGAUGGAGGGUUUCGUCGUUGGAGCAGAUCCGGUGAGUUGUACGACGCCGAGGCUGAAGUAGGACAAGAGAGACAACGAACAACCUUAACCUGAGUGGAAUUCUAAUAGCAUCUCCAAUACAUGAUGUAAAAUACAUAACCACAAAGUGCUAGAUGUCAAAUACAUCAGCCGCUCAUCUCUGAACUUAACUGUCGAAACUGAAUUAACUGUUGAAACUGAACUUAACUGUCGAAACUGAAUUUUGCUGUCGAAACUGAACGCACUAGCAAGGUGAGGCUACACGUCGGUCGACUGACUUUUUCAUCUCUGGUCAGUAGAUUUUGUAGCCGUUGGAUACGAAAUCAAGGGCCUGCAGUUCAUCUUCAACCUACACCCCCCUGUGCCGCCAGCCACCACCGGCCAAACAGCAGCCCCCCGCCGCCCGCGGCCGGCGGUGCGCCGCCCCGCCCGCCCCGAAAACACUCCGCACCGCCGGUCCGCCGCCGCCCCGGCCAUCCCUCUAGCCCCCCUCCCCCGUGCCGAGCUUUUUCUCCGGCAAUCCCCACGCCACCGCCCCGCCAACGCCCCGCCACCGCCGGCGACCACCACCCCCACCCUGAACCCUAAGAUAGAUAGUGGGGUACCUCUCCGGUGAGCCCCCCUCCCUGCUNNNNNNNNNNNNNNNNNNNNNNNNNNNNNNNNNNNNNNNNNNNNNNNNNNNNNNNNNNNNNNNNNNNNNNNNNNNNNNNNNNNNNNNNNNNNNNNNNNNNNNNNNNNNNNNNNNNNNNNNNNNNNNNNNNNNNNNNNNNNNNNNNNNNNNNNNNNNNNNNNNNNNNNNNNNNNNNNNNNNNNNNNNNNNNNNNNNNNNNNNNNNNNNNNNNNNNNNNNNNNNNNNNNNNNNNNNNNNNNNNNNNNNNNNNNNNNNNNNNNNNNNNNNNNNNNNNNNNNNNNNNNNNNNNNNNNNNNNNNNNNNNNNNNCGAGCCACCCUCCCCCACCCCCUGAAAAUCGACUGACCCAAAAGUCGAUUCAGUCGACUGAAGUGUAGCUAAAUUGGAGCAGCAUCACAAGCAAGAGCAAGAGCGAGAGCAGCAGCGCGAGCAAGAGCAAUAGCAAGAGCAGACCAGGCAGGGGACCGAGAGCAAGAGCAGAGCAGCAGCGCGAGCGAGAGCUAAAGCAGCAGCAGCUCCUACUGAUGUGGACGUCACCGCCGAGGGAGCGACGCCGUGGAGGAAGUGGCCGGCGACGCCGCCAUGGAUGGAGCCGCGCCGUGUCGGCUCGGGACCGAGCGCCGGCAGCACCGUGAGAUCGAAUCAAGAAGAAAAUACGGGGAUUAGUGUACAACCUCUUUGGUGGCGCCGAUUAGGCUGCAGCUUCAUCCGAGGAAACGGUGAUGAUGAUGCUCUUCCGAUGGUGCAGGUGAAGACGGCGGUGUGGGAAUGGAGGUGGCACGAAAGACGAGGGGAACAUCGGGGCAGCUCCUUGGAGGUGGAGGACGGGGUGGCUGAACCGGCGGGACCACGAGAUCGAUGAUGGAUCCUCAUCCGGUACGGUGGAUGAGGGACGUCGAGGUGUUGUCGUGGACGACAUUGUCGGGGAAGAGGCUCCGGCUGGGUGGCGGACGGAGCAUGGUGUGGGGUUUCGUCACGGGUUUUCGUAGCCUAAGUGUACGAAUUGGUGGGCGGAUGGGAUGGUAGUGGGGAACCAUGGCUUAGGGACGCGCUUGUCCGAAAUGUGGGGUAAGUUACGAAAGUACCCCCACCGAUUUGAGGCGCUUCUUUCGGUUCAGGGGUACCACGGGCAUUUCACGUGUCGGGAUUUCACAGGAGGUGGGAGUUUUCGCGCGCGUUGUAAUUUCGGAAUAGCAAGGCGCGGGUUGAGAUGGAGGGAGUUGUCGGAGCACAACGAGACAAAGAUAUAUCUUAAAUAUUUCGGGCUAACCAAGCGCAGGUUGAAAUUUCCGAACAAACCUAACAUGUACUGUACCAAAUCAAUGCGCACUACAAAUGUCAUUCAAAACUUUGAACUCAUGUUAUGUUCAAUUAAAAUAUUUCGCUACGUGUAUAAUGCAUGCAACCUACUACUCAAAUGAACGUUUUAGUGCAUUCCAAACAUAUAUACUACCGCUUCAAUAUGAACUAAAUUUGAAUUUGUUUAUCUAUUUGAAUAAGAUCUACAAUAAUGAUUGUUGUGAAGUUAAAGCAUUUGAAUUUGUUUCUCUGUUUUAAUAAGAUCUACAAUCAUCAUUAUUGUCAAGUUAAACCAUCGUUUGUGUAUUAUCUUCACAGCACACCACAUGAUUAGUCUCGACUUACAUAUGAACUAUGUGUACUAUAUGAACUCGAACUCGAUUUUUUGAAUCCAUGUUAUUUUGAUUUCAAAUCACAUUACAUUUAUAGCUCUAGCUAGAUCUUCAUAAUCUAAACCAUGUCUCAUAUGUAUAAUGUGUUUAUCACAUUAUGUAUGGUGCCCCCCCUACGCCUACAAGUAUUUAGAUGUGAGUUGCAAAUGGCACACAUUACCACAAAUUCAAAUAAAAUGUGAGAAUGUUCGAUACAUAGUAUUGUCUAGAUUGUUCGAUAUUUAGUUGUAAGAUGCAAAUGCCACACAUUAUCACAAAUUCAAAUAAAAUGUGAGAUUGUUUGAUGUAUAGUAUGGUUUAGAUUGUUUAAAAUUUAGCUGUGAGUUGCAAAUGCCAUGCAUUAUCACAUUAUGGUAUAACAUGUGCACAACACGUGUAUCACCACUAUAUUCAUGCAUGCAAUGUUUAAAACACUAUGAUCUCCUAUUCAAAUAUAUGAAUCCGCUUUCAUAUCAAAUUAUGAUAUUUGUUAGUCUCUUACACCCACACAAUCCUCUAACCUUUGUAGCUACCACUAACUUUCUCUCAUGCAUGGACACGCCCUCCUCGCCCUCCCCUCCCUCGGCAUUCUAUCCACUGGGCACAUACAUUUUUUUCUUUAGGUCGUUCUCCCAGAGUCUCCACAACUCCUUUUCGACACACAUCGAUCGAUAAACCUCUCAAGCGAUGCCUGCCUACAACAUACACACACACCUUCAAUCUCCUCCUUUAUGUGUCCUUGCCUCGUGUCUCUCAUACGGCCACACACACGUGUAAACUCUCGCCCCUCUUUUCAUCAAUCUCAUAACCGCACACUCCUCCCCUAUCUAGCUAGUAGUUGGGCCUCUCGCACCACCUCCUAGCUCCAUUCUCUCUGUCUAUCCGUCUCGCUGGGCCUUAUUUGCCUCUAACAAAUGGACGUACACUGACCGAUCUCUCGCUAUGCAUAUAGCUAGCUAGGUCCUUAUAACUCGUUUUUACCCACGCAUCGAUCUAUCUACCUCAUUAGUUGUGUCUCUCCCUUCCUCCGACAAACAACAAUUGAUCUACCGAUCUAGUUAGGUUUGCUUACCAAACACAUGGUUCCCCUUCAUCAUCCAUGGAUGCGUCCCGACAGAUCUAUCACACACAGGCACACACAGAAACGCAUCCCCACUCUUAUUGAUAACAUUGCAGUUCCACGCUCAGUUUGUCUAGUAGGCCUCUCCCACCAUCUCCGAGAAGCAACUCCAUCACCCAUCCAGCACUCUACCCCUCUCCCUCCCUCUCUCUCUCCUCUCUCUCUCUCCCAUCAUAUUUCCCGUCCUUCAGUUAUGUAUGGAUGUCGACCGAUCUCCCUCAAGACAUAGCUGGGUCUCUCCUUCUCAACACAUAUACGAGUCGUUCUACCUAUAUAGUUAGGCAUCUGCCUACCCCGCCCACCCCCUCCCCCCACACACACCGAUACAUUGAGCGCUCUAGUCAUGUCUCCCUGCCACACACAAACUUGACAUGUGCCCUCUAAUGUUCCGGUAGGCCAGUCGCCCUAUAUCUUUGACUUGCACACACACACAAUUUCGAUGGCUCUCUUCAUCGAUCUCGCACCCACCCACUUGAUCCUCUCUUCGACUCUAUCGAUAGCUAUGACCCCUCCCUCUCUUCUCGUGGAUUGCCCGACCCUCCAUGUAUGAUAUGGAUAGGCCUCCAUUUCACACACAUUGCAUGCAAAAUUUUGUUUGAGAUGUCAUCGACACAUAUUCCCACAAAUAAUUCACAAAAUCAACCCCCACCCUACCCCCACCCCGACCCCAAAACAAAAAACACUCACGAACGCGGAUUGUAUGUCUCACACACACCCACGUAGGUGGGGGAUGUGCACGAAGAGAAGAGGUGCAUGCACGACGCACGUACUCCCGUCUCUUUCCCAACCACACCCGCGCGGGUACACGGUGGAGCUCAUUUCUGUACGAAAAAGACUGCCCACGUGGUAAUUUGGCACGUGUACUGGUUGUCCACUUGGUGGAGGGAGGAUCGUCUACCACGGGUGAACAAACAAAUUGCGACUUGACGCAUUAUGUUAAAUUAAAAAAAAGAGGCAAACCAUGUGGGGCCUACCUUAGAGGCAAGGCUCUAUACACUGGAGUACUUUUGAUGUGUCCCUUCAACUCGUAGAACAAGGAGAAGCUUGCUUAGUAUGUUGUCUCCCCCGCCCACGGGCACUGUGGCUCGCAGGAUGAGGUGAAGCUUGCUCCGCCUUACGCCCGCUCCCUCGCCCAUGCGCGCGGUGGCUCGUAGGCGAGGAGAAAAAUUUACUAUUCCGUCCGUUUACUCCUCAUCCCUACUACCUUGGUUAUAGAGAUUAUAUCAUAUUGUUUGGAAUAUAUAUGUCCUUUAGUAGAUUUCAAUAUGUACUACUAGUACAUACUCCAAACACUAAUGUAUAUAGGCAUAUUUUAGAGUGUAGAUUCACUCAUUUUGCUCCGUAUGUAGCACUCUCCCUCGCCCCUCGACCCUCGCCCAUGUGGUGGACGUGCAUCAAUUCAUUCAGUCUCAUAUAGACAGAACAAUAUAUACUGCACUACCAUUAUUGCUCAACUUCCCGAAGAGGCGAAGAGCCAAUCGCAAGGUUAAUAUUUUGGAGAUGCCAAGUGCAAGGUUAUAGGAGAACGAGUAGUAGGUGCCGCGUCAUUUAUAAAUAAAGUUUUUUUCUUCAGUGGCACGUACGCAAUAUGAUAGGUUCAUAUGGGGAGAAAAGGAAACCGCUCCACUAUAUACAUAGUCAGGACGGGCCAGCCUACAUGGUUGCUUGCUGGGGUUGCUCUCUUCACACUCUCUCGCACAAAACAACUGUGGCCACAUCUUAACAUCCCAGCGGAUAAUGUCCGCUUGGGGAAGGGGUGGAUGCUUAGUGUAGAUGCAGUGGCCGUCGCCGACGGCGAAAACCCACUGUCGGCACGUCCCGAUCAGGGGUCCCCGCCGUUCUCUCUCACAAAGCUGGUGAGGUUGCCUUCGUCCCUUGCUCACUAACGCGACAUGGGCAGCUGCCACCUCCCGCCGCCCUCCUCAAGGUUGAGCUACGUCCCUCAAGUACAACUCCCUUUACAGCCGGCUUGCACCACUGCUCCAGCUGCCCACAUCACUCCCUGUGGAUAUUUCUCUACUUCUUUGCCCCGCACGUACCUCUACUGGCUUCUAUGUACUGUAUUUGUGAUGAGUUUAUGUCUCAUCAACUAGUCCCAGUAAUCUUAUUCUAAUCACGCUUCUUCAAUUUCUUUGCCACAGGGAUGCUCAUCUCGAUUUUGUUAAAACUGCACAAAAUGAUCCGAUGGUCAAAAGGUUGCAAACUUCAUUUCUUAGGAAGCCCGAACAUUGCCAACAAAUUGAAGCCUGGUUAGGGUUCACGGUUCAAGGGCUAGGGACUGCAUGGAUCUUUUUUCUUUAGCUGCCUCUGUUCCAAAAUAAGUGUCAACUUUGGUAGUAGUACAACUUUGUACUAAAGUUUGCAUGAAGUUGAGACACUUAUUUUGGAACGGAAGGAGUACAUAUUUGCUAUGAUCUAUCAAUCAUUGAGAUGCAAUAGCAUGCAUGUUAGUCUCCUUUAUAUUUGAUGAAAUGUUGCAACGGGCAACCUUGGACGGAAGAUACAUGUAACAGAAGCUGGAAGCUUCAUAGCAUUGUAAAAAUUUAUCUCGCUGAUAAAUUACAGUACGUACUAUACUAGUACUUCCUCCGUUCCUAAAUAUAAGUCUUUGUAGAGAUUUCACCAUGAACCACAUGCGGAUGUAUAUAGAUGCAUUUUAAGUGUAGAUUCAUUCAUUUUGUUCUGUAUGUAGUUCACCUAGUGGAAUCUCUACAAAGACUUAUCUACUAGUAAUAGCUAGCCCCCACUACUAGGAAUUCUCUAUCCUAUCCUUGAGCCACAUCAUCAAAAUUAAUGUAGCCGUUAGAUGAGCUAAAUCAGUCCAUAAUAGCUGUCAGAUCUAGAUGUUGAGAGGCUCCGCACUAAGCCACAUGCAAGCAUGCAGAAAUACCGUGGCAUGCAUGUGAGUGGGUUUUAAAUCACAUCAACAUGUCUGCAUGCAAGCAUGCACUGGUAGCAUGCAUGGAAGUGAGCUUUUAAGUCCCAUUAACAUGUCAAAAAGAAAAAUAUAAUCCCAUUAUGCAGUAGGAGUUGGCUGAUCUUUUUUCCUUAUGUGGGAUGAUCUACAUGAUGAUGGGAGUUUAUUUAGUUUGGCUACCACAUUUGUCAUGCGGUUAUAGAGUUUUUUUAGUUCUAUGAAAUCGACAAUUUUGCGCAGAGAGAUAUACGGUUGUUCCGCGGCAACGCGCGGGGACUCAUCUAGUAAUAUUUAGGAACGAAGGGAGUACUAUGUAAAGAGUUAGGUGUCGCAUGGUGAUAGUGUGAGGUGGGCCAUGUAAUCACUGAGCCUGCGUGUUUUCACUGCUCUUGCACUCCUCCGCUGUAAGAAUGGAGAAAAUUGUAAUCUAGUAGUAGUACCUCCUUUCGCCGAAAGCGUGGGACAUAUAGCAGUCCUACCACCUCAGUAAUAAACACCAAUGAGCUAUCAAAUCACAUAGACCCAGCAGUAAGUUGGACGGACGAAGCAACCAUCACUCUUGCGCCAGUGAGAGGUCAUGUCCUCUCUGCCCGAGCAUGAAUGCGGAACCGAUUCUAUGGAGCAGCGCCGACCGUUUCAGGCGGGAAGCGCGUGCGGGCGAUGGAGGGGCUUUGGGUGGGCCACGCUGGUCAGGAGCGGGCGUGGCAGCUGUCCGCAUGUCCCUACCGAACACGCUCGGAAACGAGAGGAUGCAUCGACUCUCGCGGCUAAAAUCAUACACUACACACCAUCUCUCUGUAGGAGUAGGUCGAUCUGUCGCUCUCUCUAACACAUGCAUGCUGUUAAACACACACACGCACACGCACACUCCUUGGUCCCAUUGCACCUUCUAACGUGACUUAUUACACCUAGACGGUGGGAGUAGUAAGUAUACGAGAUACGGUGGCACACUGACUUAAGUCGAAUACAAGUGCCCAAAAUCUGUGUGCAUGUUAUAAUAAGGAUUCACUUAAAAUAGUACGUGAGCGAACAGAGGGAUCAAUUGGACAGUGUUCCCGAGCAGUAGCGAGAUGUGUGAGGUAAGAUACACCGCUGGUGCUUUUAAUUUUUCUUAUUAAUUUGUUUGUUUCACCCUCUGACUGGUGGGACCCAAUGUACUACGUGGAGAGAGGUAAGGUGACUAAGGCUGCAUUAUUUCUGCACCACUAUGGAUAGUCUUACCACCAAAGCCACAUGACACGAUUAUGAUUGAAAUCCCAAUGACUCCCACACACACACAAAAAAAACACGGCAUGCUUGUCACACGAAUGCAGGAAUGUAUAAAAGGUUAUUUUCCUCUCGUUGAACAUAAUGGGAGGGUUGUGUAGCUAGUUAGCCUAUUCGCUCAUCAAACUUGAGGUCUCGGGUUCGAUAACUACACUUGAGCAUAAUUUGUGCCAGGAGGAUUCUUUGACUGAUCAAAAUGGAUGGAUACGGAGCUAUACGAUCUCGUAGUGACCGUAUAAUCACCUCAUCACGUAUAAGCUGCAGCCUCGGCACUUGUUUUCUAGGGUUUGUACGGUUCACACUGUCUCUCCAGUAUAUAUAUACACGCUGGAGCCUCAGCGCUUGUAGUUGCUCUCUUCACACUCUCUCGCCCUCUCCAGAUCUAAACAAGACUUCGUUGGCCUCUCUCUCCCCUCACUGCUGCUUCAAGAGCCGGCAGGAUCCGUCCGCCUGGAAGGGAAGGAGGCUUAACACUGUCGCCGUCAGCAAGGGAGGGAAUCCACUACCGAUGCAGCUGUUCACUUUCACCCAACGGCAUCGCGGGAGGGCCUCCGACCCCUUCUUCUUCGCCGACGUCCCGUAGCCCACCAAACCACGCCCCAAGAACCUUAAGGUAUAAUUUACUUACUCCACAUGCAUUGCUCUAGCUGCAUGUAUACCAUUAAUCUAGGACUUGGUUCAAAGAGGAAAGGAGUGGGGGAAAGUAGUGGGAAAAGUUGUAUAUAGCAUGAAUAUAGGACGUGGUUCAAAGAGGAAAUGAAGGGGGAAAGUUGUAUAGUAUGAAUCUAGGACGUGGUUCAAAGAGGAAAGGAAUGGGGGAAAGUAGUGGGGAAAGUUGUAUCGCAUAAAUCUAGGAUGUGGUUCAAAGAGGAAAGGAAGGGCGAAAGUACUAGUUCAAAAAGGAAAGGAAGGGACAAGGUUGUAGAGUUUGAGCAGGACUAGAUUUGCUGCGCUCACAUAGGGAAAGGUGUCUAAAGGUAACAAAACUGGGACCAACACAAAUAUGCUCCUUGGUUGUUUGUUCUUUGUUGCAAUAGACUGUGCAUGACCACAGACAUCCGUAGAUGCACAUGGUGCUGGUGCGUCCACUAUCCCGUGCAACUCAUUAGCUGUUGUUAAUCUAAGGCCCUAUUUGGUUAAAAACUCCCUAGUUCCUACCUGCUUGGUUCCAGGGACUAAACAUGGACUAGAGGUUAUUAAAUGACAUGCUAAAAGACCAUGUUACCCCUAGUAAUGAACUAAUAGAGACAAGGUGCGAUGCGUGGCAGGGGCAACUAUUGGAAAAAGUCCCAAAAAGGCUCCCUCGAGGUCUUCUUUCUUUAGUCCCAAAUGCCCACUUUUAGUCCCUAAAAGUCCCUCCUGUUUGGUUUAGAUGGGACUGACACGGAGUUUUUUUUAGUCCCUACACCAAAAUGUCCCUGUAAACAAACACCCUCUAAUAAUGCCGCUGGAAAAUUGAUGCAAUGCCACAGUUAAAAGCAAAUUACAUGUUUAGCGAAUUUUCUUGUUAAUACAAUCUCUAUGUUAAUAUUAAUCAAUGCCACCAUUUGAGAAAUGCUACUGUCUUGCUUUCUUUCCCAUUUAGAUAAGGUAGAUGCUUCUUUUUGUUGGCUUCUGUGUCAUCCACCAUUAUUGACCACUAAUUGUUUCCUUUGCACCUCUGUGUAAACACGAUUAUCUACUUCACCUUGUUGCCAUUGUGACCUUUUGUUGCACUGCACAAAACACUUUUGUUUUAAGAGUGUUUUGUGCAGUUCAACCAAAAUGUCACACCGACAACGUUGAGUGGAACUGCACAAGAGGAGAUCUUACUUCCUAUCCGUUUUGGCAAAUUUGGUUCAAAUCUUCUUCUUGUGAGUUGUUUGAAUUCCGCAUCAUGAGAGGUCAGUACUAGCCUUCUUUCACAUGAUUCUGCAGUGUGCUUUCAUAUGUUGUGCUACUUGUACGAUGAUGUUGCUUGAUUUUAGUGAACUGCACAAAUGGAGACAAGACUUCGAAUCUGUAUGUGCACCGUAAUAUCCCAUUGAGGUAAGAUAAGGAUAUUUCACAACUGUUGGCCUGCAUUUUGCAACUUUCAUCAGAAAAUUAAGUUUAGUACUAUACUUGUGCUCCCUAAUUGACAUGCCAAAUCUUACAUUGAAGGCGAAGCCUGUCUAUUAUUGAACCAAGUGACGAAGGGGAAGAACAAACGGAAGGAAAACAAAAAUCAACUCCUGGUGCUGUAAUGAAGCACUAGAACUAUUACGACACAAGUAAUGAUAUAGUUUUGCAUCUUAAUUUAUUUCUAUGGCUGGAACGAGCAAUUGUUUUGCCACUGAUUUGAUGCCACUCUGAAAGUAAUACGUAAUUAUCUCUACUUGUGCAAACAGGGAUCUUCUUUGAAGAUACCAUAUAUUUUAGUGGAACUGCACAAGAAGAUGUUGGAAACAUUAAACUAAUUGAGGAGGAUAUAGUAAGCAUGGCCACCACUGUAGAUAGCAACAGAUGGUUCCGGAGAAGUGCUUCAUCUGUAUGCUCUACACAAUAAGCCUCCUGACAAAGGUUGGUACUCGCCCACUAAUUUCAUCCAUAUGAUUGAGCUUUGUCAUCUCUAUUGGUGUUGUGCUACUGUUUAGAUACUGUCAUGAAAAAGUGGUAUUGUCCUUGAGAAGUGCUUCAUCUGUGCUGUUUUAAAUAUUUCCUUUCCUUUUUUUCGAGCAAAUAGGGAUGCUAGCAUUUAGUAGUCCUCUUGUCUUUGCACAACAGGAUCAUCUUCCUCUGAAGAAGAAUAUGGAGUACGUGAAGUGACUAGUUCCGAUUAUGCCAGGAUGAAGAAGCCAUGUCUAUCUUCUCAUCAGAAGGAGUAGUUAAAGGAUGGUUACAUUACUCCCCACAAGACCAAACUAACUUCAGCUCAGAAGGACUGACAAAUCUCCAUUUUUUGCUGUGAUGCCUGAGUACAAUGUUGUUCUAGGAUUCUUUCUGGUGAGUUCCAUUUUUCUAAAAGUGUGCUCUACAUGGACCAUGUAGGUGCAUGUUGAAACUGUCAAUUCAUAGUACAGUUUGCUUUAUACUAAUCACUUUUUUGUAUUUGUACAAACAGGGGUGCUCAGCUUGAUUUCAAUGGGAACUGCACAAAAUAUUCAUGAAUACAUCGAAUCAUUCAUUUCCACCACAAGAAAGGAGGUGCCGAUAAGUUCAAGGCAUUGCAACAUAUAAGGGAGAAAUCAUACAAGCUAUGCGCGAAUUUGGUUGAUUUUGGUGGAACUGCACAAAAAGAACAGCUGGUUUAUUUAGCACGAGGUGCCAUGUCAAUGUCCGAACUGAUGGCAAACCCUGCCGAUUCUACAAUCGUAGGCAUUUGAUAUUUUGGAAUGGGACAACCUUGUCAAAUUUUGCUCAUUGAUUUUAGCAAGACAUGCGUUUGAUAUUUUCGAAUGGGACGCCCUUUGCUGUCAGCAGCGUUGAUCAAUUUUUUAUUCAUUCUUUAGUUGUGAAGUAAAUAUUGCCUCUGACAUGUGAGUCAGUGAGAUGUAUAAUCAUCGAUUGUUUUGAAUGUGCUCAAUGAAUUGCCAGCCCUGUGUGUUUCAUUGCAAUGUACAAAAAUGCUAAAAAGCUGCUCAAACUCUUUGUACUCCUUCUGUUCCUUUUUACUUGGCAUAUUGUGAAAGUGCAUACUUUUUUGUAUAAGAUUGGUCAAAGUAGAGAUACUUUGACUGCAGACAAAACUUGUAUGCAGACUAGAAAGGACCGGAGAGAGUACAUGUGAAACUACUGCAAAUGAGGUGAUCACCCUGGGAAUAAUGCUAGUACGUUUUGUUUUGCAUGUUCAUCCAAUGCCAGUGAUACAGGAAUUCGAACUAAUCAAAAUAAAUUCAUUCAUACACGGUUGGAUUUCAUAUAAACAUGCCGGAUUUCAUUACAUUUCAUACAUUCUUCAACUAAAAAGGGGUGCGCUGGAGGUAUAAUUAAUUAACCGAAGCUACCCACCUAUGUCCCGCUGAGCCGAACAGAAGCUUCAGUGACUUAACUGCAGGUGUAGUUGCAUAACUGACAUGUGGCCUGUUGGGCCCACGUGUCAGUCAGCCAACUGCACCAGCAGUUAAGUAGAAGCAGCGUUCUUCUCCAGUGCAGCUCUCCGACUCCACGUCGCCGUCAAGAAGCUAACCGGCCGUCAAUGGUCAACCCGCCUAGCUUGGCUUCAGCCGAAGGGUAGCAGCGGUGGCCUUAUGUGGACCCUAGCGGCGGCGACCUACCGUGUUCUACUCUUCCUUGUUUUCUGUGUGGCGCGGCCUCGUUGGCAGCAGGGCGGGGCCUCGGUGGAGCCGUCGAUGUCCUCUGUCUUGUUGCCGGCGGGCGGUGCCUCGGCGGAGCGGUGGAAAUCCUCCCCCACAUUAGCGGCAAGGUGGGGCCUCGGCUGAGCCGGCGAUGUCCUCUGCCUCGUUGUUGGCGGGGUGAGGCCUCGGCGGAGCCGGUGGUGUCCUCUGCCUCAUUGUUGGUGCCGCGAGGCCUCGGCGGAGCAGGGCCUCAUCGACACCAGCGGAGCGGGGACUCGUCGGAGCCGACAUUGUCCUCUGCCUCGUCCUCGGUCUCGCCAAACAGCGCCUCGCCCGCUUCAUCGCCCUCUUUGCUAGCCUCUAUGUAGGUGGCAGCAGCCUCCGCCACCCACAUGCAGUACCACCAGCGCUUGAGGCGGCCCUUGUGGGCGGAGUGGUACGAGUCGAGCAGCGCCUCCUGCUCCGCCCGCUCCGCGGUGUUCUGCUCCUCCGCCUGCAGGUGCCCCUGGAGGAGAUGGUGGUUGUAGGCGGUGUCGGCCUGCGCCUCCCGAAACUUCUCCUCACGCAUCUGCCUCACCGUGUCCAUAAAUUGGGCAUGGGCCUUGCCGAUGGUCAUGGUGCAAUGCACCAACGAGGAUGGCGUGGAGGAGGGGGUUGGCACCGGAUCGUCGACUACCAUGGUCUCCAUUGGGACGUCGUCGUCCUCCGGCUGCCUGCCGGCCAGCCGGUCGGCAGCAAUGGCUGCCAUCUACUUGUGGUCCGUCGUCCGCCCAUCCCGAAGAGUGCUGGAGCGCGAGGAAGCCAUGGUGGGCAGUAGUGGUGUGGACAGGAGAAAGGGAACGGAUGCGGAUGACUACGACUAUGGCCGGCGCAGCAGUUUAUAGCAAUGGUGGGCGGCGGAGGGACGGACGUGUGGCGCCGGAGUAGCCGCCUCGGCAACCGUGUAUCAUUAAUGUGGGCGGUAGAUGGACGGACGGACGACACUUGUGUCGUUUGAAGGCGGAGCAAUCGCCUGCAACAGGAAGCGGGGCGGGCGGCGCUCACUAUUUCAGGCGGAAAGUGCGCACGGGCAAGGAGAUGACUUUACUUGGAGAGGAUGACAAUGGGGACCCACCAGGGCCAUAGCCUCACGUACGCAAGUGCCUCCUUAUUAUAUAUAUAUAAAACUAUAAUUUAUUUUGCUUCCUCCUCGUUUCCUGACAUCACGGUCCCACGCCAUAGUCAAUAAAUGAGAGAAUUGCACAAGAACGGCCGACAGCUGGUGUCGGUGUCAAAACCGGCGGAUCUCGGGUAGGGGGUCCCGAACUGUGCGUCUAGGCGGAUGGUAACAGGAGACGAGGGACACGAUGUUUUACCCAGGUUCGGGCCCUCUUGAUGGAGGUAAAACCCUACGUCCUGCUUGAUUAAUAUUGAUGAUGUGGGUUACAAGAGUAGAUCUACCACGAGAUCAAGGAGGCUAAACCCUAGAAGCUAGCCUAUGGUAUGAUUGUUGUUCGUCCUAUGGACUAGGGCCAUCCGGUUUAUAUAGACACCGGAGAGGGCUAGGGUUACACAGAGUCGGUUACAAAGGUAGGAGAUCUACAUAUCCGUAUCGCCAAGCUUGCCUUCCACGCCAAGGAAAGUCCCAUCCGGACACGGGACGAAGUCUUCAAUCUUGUAUCUUCAUAGUCUUGGAGUCCGGCCGAUGAUGAUAGUUCGGCUAUCCGGACACCCCCUAGUCCGGAACUCCCUCAGUAGCCCCUGAACCAGGCUUCAAUGACGACGAGUCCGCGUGCAUAUUGUCUUCGGCAUUGCAAGGCGGGUUCCUCCUCCGAAUAAUUUAUAGAAGAUUGUGAACACCAGGAUAGUGUCCGGCUCUACAAAAAUAAAUUCCACAUACCACCGUAGAGAGAAUAAUAUUACACAAGAUCAAUCUGCUGACGUAUUCUGUGGCGUGACGUCACACCACUUCCAAGCCUUUACUCGAAUUGUUUUUAUUGUUCCACCUCAGCGCGUUUAGCGAGGAGGUUUCCUUGGCACGUCUUGUCGAAGCAGAGAUCGUGUUCCCCUUAUUCCGGGAUUCCCAUCAAUACGGACGUGGGUAACCCAACCGCGCCAUUAAUUGUGAUGCUUGGGAGAUAAGCGAGUUUUACCAGGCUGGUGGGGACGCGUGUUUCCGUCCGCCCAUAUAAGGGGAUAAAGAUCCAACCUUUUUACCUGCGCCUUCUUCCUCCUUGGCUUAUCCAUCUUUGUGAACUCGAGCUCCAGCGCCUAAGUCUGUACUUCUCACCUCAACCUUAUCCAACUAUGUGCGGAGCGGGAGGCAAGUGGAUGGCCUCCUCCGUCAUGGAGGGGCAGAUCCAGAAGCUGCGCGACGCCGGAUACUUGUCCAGCGACAUCGCGCAUCGGCUCCCCGACAAGGGAGAGCUCAUCCCCAACCCCAGGCCCCAUGAGAGGGUAGUGUUUCUUCCCCAUUUCCUCCGCGUACUGGGCUUCCCACUUCAUCCCUUCGUCCGAGGGCUCAUGUUCUACUACGGCCUGGAUUUCCAUGAUUUGGCCCCGAAUUUCAUCCUCAACAUCUCGGCGUUUAUCGUCGUGUGCGAGGCCUUCCUCUGCAUCCAGCCCCACUUUGUCUUGUGGCUCAAGACCUUCAGUGUCAAGCCGAAGGUUGUGAAGGGCAGCCAAGCGGAGUGCGGAGGCGCCAUGGUGGGCAGGAUGUCCCACGUUACGUGGCUGGAAGGCACUUUCAUGGAAACCAUCAAGGGGUGGCAAUCGGGGUGGUUCUACAUCACCGAGCCGCGUGACGCCGAUUGGGCAGCAGCCCCCGAAUUCAGAUCCGGCAUCCCUACACGGCUCACCUCCUGGAAAGAGAGUGGCCUGAUCUGGGGGAAUUCGGAGGAGCUGACCGGACUCCAAGCCUGUAUCCAGAAGCUGGUGGACAAGAAGCUCAAGCUUGUUAACAUAGUCCAGGUCAUGCUCAUCCGCCGGAUUCUCCCGUGCCAACGACGGGGUUUCAAGAUGUGGGAGUUCGAUCCGGCGCAGCACCAGACCCUGAGUGGGCUCUUCGACACUACGUACGAAGAUGUCUGGAAGGUGCUAUUCAAGGGCGCCGAAGCUCCCACAUCCGCUACCGAAGAUCACGGAUUCCGCUUGCAGCGUCCGGCUGACGAGGUAAGUGAUUUUGCCACUUGUUUUCCAUAGUUUGACUCUAUGCGGGAUCUAAACUCCCUUUACCUUUGAUAGGACUGGCUAGCGAAGGCCGAACAGACUAUCUGUCCGGCCCCAUUGCCAGAGGACCUAGCGGAUGCCCGCCUAACGGGGCUGCUGGCUCCGGCACCCCACAUGGUGCCGGAGAAGAAGGCCAAGAAGAAGGCCACGGGGACUCGGAAGAGUUCCCGUUUUCAGGUGCUAUCGGAUGAUGAAUCCGAGGCCGACUCCUCCCACCAAGGCGAGGAGGAGAAGAAAGCCUCUCCCCCAGCGGGGGGAGGGAAGAAAAGGAAGGCCUCCCCAACAAGGGAGGCCGAAGGGUCCAAGAAGGGAAAAACUCUUCCCCCGGACCGCUCCACCAACGCCAGUGACGACGACGAGGACUGGCCUCCAAGGGCCAAGCCCCUGGCGAGAUCGUAAGUAUCCGGACUCCCGAAUAACUUCAAGAUUUUUUUCUUUUCGCUGCAUAAUGUCUUUCUAAUGCCGCAUACAACCCUGCAGUCCGCCCAAGGAUGAUCUUCCCGUUUCGUCGAGCGGGUCCUUGGGUGGGUCGGAUAUGGAUUCCCUUUCGACUGCCUCCACCCCUCGUGCCGCGGACGACGCCGAGGUGGUGUCCCAGGAAGGGACCUACUAGGAGGAGGAGGCCCCGGAGGUGUUGCAGGACAACCUCCCGGACUUUGUACCAGACUCAGCCCCGGAGGCCACAGUGGCUCCGGAGUCCGGCGGGCGACCCCUUCGUAAGAAGGGCAAGACCAUGAUGCCGGCUGCCUCCGUCCAACCGGAGGUGCCGAAAAAUUUGCUGGAGGCGCUCAACGGCGCCUCCAUCGAAGAGGAACACCGCACUGUUAUGAGUGCGGUGAUUCAAAAGGUUCAACUCGCCAAGAGCGGGCUGACUGAAGCCUGCAGCAGCCUUCUAACAGGCUUUGAGGUAAGAAUUUCAAUAUAUGUAAAACGGUACCGCAUAGACAGUAGCCCCUGAUGCUUGGUUCGGUGUUCAGAAAGAAAAGCCGGACUGAGGAUCUUUAGAAAGAUAAACGCAGGAGGCAUGAAAAUAUGUCAAUAUGGGAUUGCAGGCUGUGCUGCUGACCUCCGCCGCACUGACUGCGAAGGUCAAUACUUUGAAGGAAAACCUCGAGCGGUCCGAGAACGAGCUCGGCCGUGCCAAGAAGCGGCUCGAGGAAAAAGAAGGUGAGUAAUACCUUAUGAAAAUUGUACCUUACAGAAAAGGAUUUGGUUGCAAGAAAAAUGACAAGGAUAACUUGGGUAUUGCAGGGGCCACUAACGAGGUGGCGACCCUGAAGGAGGCAGUGGCCGCGGCCGAACGCAAUGCGGCCGCGGAGCGCAUCGAGCGAGAGAGGCAGGAGGCGCGGGUGGCGGAGGUACAGCAAGAGCUCCAGGAUCUCGUGAAAAAACAUGAGAGCUUGGAGCGUGACUCGAAGACUCGAGAGUCUGAGCUUGCAACGGCUCCAAAGCCGCUAAGGCCGAAGCCUACAAGGCCCUCCAGGAGAUUGAGGCGGUGAAGAAAAUAGCAGCAGGUAAGGCAUUUUUCAUGCAAAGUAAGCAUGUGAGUGUUAAUUACCUGUCGCUUACCCGAAUUUGGAGCUCUCCAAGAGCGUUCGCAGAUCUUCCUCGCAGCGUGUCUGAUGCUGCCACAUUCUACCGGGCCGAGGAGGGGAGCUCGACGGAGAAGGUCUUCUGGUCUCAGUAUGCUGAGGCCGUACAUCCGGUGCCCCUUAGCGACCAGCUGAAGCAGCUGGUCGAGCUCCACAAGGCGGCCGAACAGGCCAUGAAGGGCCUCAUAGUUCGGCUGUGGCCUAAGGAGGCUAUGCCUGGGAGCUACUUCGGCCUGGUGCGGCGGCUGGUGGAUGCGUGCCCGUGGGUUGAAGUUAUCAAGCACUCUGCCUAUAUUGAGGGUGCCCAUCGGGCCCUUGCCCGCGCAAAGGUGCACUGGGGCAAGAUGGAUGCCCAGAAGCUUGUGACGGACCCCCCACCAGAGGGCAAGGAGCAUCGCAUGCCCGAGAUGUAUUAUAAGAGUGUGAUGAAGGGCGCCCGCACUAUUGCGGGUGAGUGCUCCAAAGAUGUAAUAUUUGAGUAGACUCGCAUUUUGUUAUCCUGUGCGCUGAAAACUUGGUUCAUAUGCGCUAAGCAACGCUUGUUAAUUUAAAAUAUCACCUUCUGUGCGGCUGUUUAUCAAAUCUGAGAGAUGACAAGUCGUCGGCUUCAGCCCCCAUGCCACGAGUGCUGGGGUGUUCGGGAUAAACUCGAGCGCUCUUGUUCCCAUUUUUGGGUCCAUCUAGGGAGGCGCUCGACACAGCGAACAAGGCAACCGGACUUAUAAUGCUUGAACACUCUCACUUAGCCAUAGAAUUCUAUAAUUUUAAAUUUCGGCGAAGCCCCUAGUCUUCGGAAGGCCGAAUUUGGGGCGCUAUCCACGCCUUGGCCGGACAGUAUCCGGCUCCUCGCUCUAAGCGGCAUAAGUCUUUAAGGACUCGCAAAAAACCUCUCGAACAGCGACCGGCUCUCGCCUCAUCAUGACGGUCAAUUUUAGCUUUCUCCACUAAGGCGUUAACCCAGCUCAACUGGGGCGCAAUCGCAGUGGUUCUCCCAGUGCUACGUUAGCCGAUAUAACGGAAUGUAAGGUACCAAAACAUGGGAGCCGGGCAAACCCAACUAUUGACCCAAGACAUGAUUCAGAGCCGAUGCAUAUAGUGCUAUAAGUUCGUGGUGCCGCACUUGUGAAAGUGUUCGGACUCAUCACACCAUAAUGCGGGGAACAUAAGCCCCUAGUGUGUAUUAGCCGUACCAAAGUGUACGGAUGCAAUAUGCCGUGGAUGAACAUAUGUAUGAAAAGGAAAUGCAAUUAUAAGCAAAAAGGUGCUGCAUUGUUUUAUUCAAUAAGUGCUGCUACGAAUGCAGAACGAUACAAAUUGUGCGAUAAGCAAGGUAUGGGACUGUUAAACAUGUCCCCCUCCAGGGGUAGACUGCAAAUUGGUGUAUAAAAAUGCUCGUAACGGAGACCACCUGUAUGUUCAUUGUAGCCUUUAUCCUUCCCUGGUUGUUGCAUCGUGAGUUCGGCAGAUCUGCUGCCGGACAGGGCCUCUGACGAACGGAGUCCUGUGAGUAAAAAAUAAAAGGUAAAAAGAAAAAAAGAACGACACACUUGAGAGCCCCUGGUGUGGUUGAGCCACAGUCUGGGUUUAUCGUGGUCGUGCCCCUCUCCCCAUGCCCAUGGUAUCUUCAGAGCGUAAUGUUGUACGCGAAGGACAUGCUUUGACGUUUCGCAGGAGCUGGGGUUGGGGCCGCACUGCUACGCGUGCUCGGAAUGUGCUAGGUGGUCUUGUUGUAAGUUACUCCGGGCGCGCUUAGCUGUGUCCGGCCGCUUAAUGGCUGGACUCGAGAAUUGCCUUAAGAGGCUGCAUUGCACUUCUACCGCAAGAGCCGUUGUAUGUUCCUACGUGCGGAGAGAACGUUCAGUGUUUUCGUUGACCGUGAUGAGUCCUCGAGGGCCUGGCAUCUUGAGCUUGAGGUAUGCGUAGUGCGGCACUGCAUUGAACUUUGCAAACGCGGUACGUCCGAGCAAGGCAUUAUAGCCGCUGCGGAACGGGACUAUGUCGAAGAUUAACUCCUCACUUCGGAAGUUAUCCGGGGAUCCGAAGACCACUUCCAGUGUAUUGAGCCUGUACAAUUGGCUUCUGCACCUGGUAUGACGCCUUUAAAGGUCGUUUUGGUAGGUUUAAUCCUUGCGGGGUCUAUGCCCAUUUUGCGCACUGUAUCCUGGUAAAGCAGGUUCAGGCUGCUGCCGCCGUCCAUCAGGACUCUUGUCGGGGAUAUACCCCGCGGCGUAAACCGGCCGGAAGUAUAACCCGGCCGGACUUGGCGGUUUACUGAGAUCCGGCUGGCACUUGGCGAUUCACUGGCGACCCGCCCUGACCUGGCGGUUUACAAGCAACCCACCUGGUCAUUAUGACUCACUGGUGACCCGGCGGGCGGGUCAGAGGAGCGACAAGACCCGGUGGCCCGUCUGGCGGUUCAUGAAGGCCGGUUCAACUGCUGGUUUAAGAGGAAAGGCAUAAUGAAUAUUUGUCUUACAAGGAGUUAAGACCUGGACUUGUAUCCGGUUUGUAUUAGAGAUAGACUAGUCCGAAUCCUAAUAGGACUCCACAUGUAACCCGCCCCUUCAACAUAUAUAAGGAGGGGCAGGGCUCCCCAAAGAGUGACAAGCUACAAGCAAGAAGAAAUAAUCUUAGGGCUAGACACAAAGAGGAGAGCCGGUUUACAGCGACUCCCUCGUGAUGAUAAUGAGACCUAGCCUCAAACAACAUGUAGGGUUUUUACCGAUGAUGUUUCCCGGGGCCCGAAGCUGUCUAAAUCCCUAUCUUGUGUUGCGUCUCUCGAUUCCGCUCAACCCCUCUCAAGCUACCACAUAGAUGCGUUGGCCUCGCGACUAAGUCCUGACACUAAGGACAUCUGACGUGUUAAUUCCACGACAGUUGGCGCCCACCGUGGGGCUGGCGCACGGUGGUGAUGAGUUCUUGGAGGGAUCUUUUUUUUCAAGGAUCGAGAAGUUCAUAACUUUCCGGAUGAAGAGAAACCGGUUUGGAAGGAUUUGCAUCAAUUUCAAGUCCAUCAGUCCAAGGUUCAAGAUUUGUAAGACUUAAAGUUCAAAGGAAUUAGGGGAGCGGCUGUGCGCUACCUUAAACCGCCGAGAUUAACAGGAAAGAAGCGACAAGUCGCCAAUACCAUCUUCUUCUAUGGCCUAUUUUGCCCUUGGCGUGUCAAGUUUCCAUUAAUAACUCGCCGAAGCCGGCCGGCCAUUUUGUUUUGGUGUGUGCGCCGCGGCCAUCGGUAUCUUUUCAAUCGAAGAUCGAUUUCAACAAGAAGCUGUGUACAUCGGUUCAAGUACAAGUAAUUCAACUAGUACUCAUCACAUCAAGCUACAGUAUUUGUUACCCACUGCUAUGUGUACGGGUAAGGCAACAAACAGCGGCCAAAUCCACGUCUGUGCUACGCGUUGAUCAAGGCAAGCCAGACUACCAGAGAAUAUCAACCAUGGACUAGUAGUGCUAAAAAGAAAAAAAGGGGGGUCGCUGCGACCCGGAACCGGAUUAGUCAAAACGCGCUCGGUUCCUGCUAUCGAAUCGCCCUUGCCUUGAUCCGCCUUCUUCCCGAGCUACAUGUUGCCGCGACCCGGAGUACAGAAGUAACCCGGAAACUGAUAUGAUCAAUGACUCGGAUUAGUCAAAUCGCGCUACCUGGAGCCACCCCUACCGCGACCUUUCGCCGAGCCGUCGCGCGCCUUGGGCUGUCUGCACCCACGAUUCGGCCUCCUCUGCUGCAGAAGACCGGUGCCGGAUUAUUGCCGCCGCAUCAGCCGCGUGUAGCUGUGGUCGUUCCUUCUGCUAUUGUGUGCGCUCGUGCCAAACCAGCCACGGCCGUGCCUCUCCAACCCGGGCUGCCGUGCCUCCAGCGUAGCCCCGGGCCGGAUCUUGCCUGCUCACGGCCAAUGCCAUCCGCCAACGGCCACCGGCUCCACCCGUGCUCGGCCGCGCCUGUCCGUCCGACUCCGCCCGCACUGGCUGCCCGCAGCUCGGCUAGCUGGCUCCUGUGCCGGCCUCCCUAUACCGGCUCCGAGUCGCCUGCACCGGCCUCGUACCACACCAGCUUCACCUAUACCGACCAAUCACCUCCUCUUGCUCUGCGCGCUUGUGCUGAACCAGCCACGACCGCGCCCCUCCAAAUCGCCUUCUACCACGGCCGGCUUCAACAACAACUUCGACAUCUACUGUUGACAAAUUUCGGAGUCCAUCACACCCGGCUUCAGCAACAUCGUGAUCUUCUUCAACUCAAGCUAAGAAGGCUCGGAUCAUGCCACCUCCGGUUCAGCAAUCUCGCGCUGUGAAGUCUUCAAAAUUCCGGCUCUCGCUGCUAUCUCCAGCCGUCAGUCAGGUUACCUGCUUACGACUCCCGCUAGACCAUCUUCGACUUCGCUGGCUUAUGCCACAUAAUAAAAACAAGCUAAGUCACUUUUACAUUUAAAUUUCAUUUUUUUCCAGCCAAUUAAAUAUAUCCGGCACCUUUGAGUUAAUCUUGGGGGCUAUCAUUUCUUCUCAUAAAGUUGAGUCGUAAGGUUACCAAAGAGGACUAUUUGCCACGAUGCACAGUUCAAACAUGGAUGCCCUACAUAUCAGCGAAAUAAUUUUAUGUUCGUUCUUUACUAAGUCAGAUGCAACUCGUAACCGACCAAGUAGUGGGUAUGGUAUUGUCGAUCGACUCUGAUGCUUAUCAUGGACUUUGUCGACCUUGAAUAUAUCAUAUUCCACGAAAAAAGUCCAUGCGUGAGCUUACUUAGUCGAGUCAAACGAUUAACAAUUUGAACACAAGUUGACAAAGUCAUCAAAAUUAUUAUUUAAUUUUGUUUUAUAUAUCACGAAUGGUGUAAUGCAUUCAUGUGUUUUAUUUCAGGAACAAAGAGCUUGAAGAUGACUCCUCGAGUCGCCUCAAGCCUCGGGGGCUAUCAAGCCAGAAUUUGUGAAAAAAUGGAUUUUGUUCGUUACCAGAACACAAGUUCACAUACUCUCUCGUCCGCGCCGGCUUACAACACCUUGUUUGGUUCAUCUGUCUAAGCCGCUUCUGAUGAUGCGGUCGUCCUUGCCAUCCGUCUCUCACGGCCUGGUCUACAUCAACAUACCUAGCCGCACCUGUCUGCAUGAGCUGUUUAUUGAGUAUGAGCAAGUCACAGCUUGGGUAGCCCGGUUUUUUCUUUCAACAAUUUGGAGGCGAAUUAUCAUCAACCGCCAUUUGCACUGGAUGGCUCAAUGGGCAGGCGCACAAGUCGCCGCCACUACAGUUUGGUUAACUUCAAAUCGCCAGUUGGAAGGAACCAUUGGCCGAGUUGCUGACACGGCUCAUACGAGAUCAUUUAUAACCCACCGCAGUCACCUCAACCUUCUGCGGAUUCACAUCGUGCUAUCAACACCAAUGAUAUACAAGUUAUGCCGGCUUAUAUCAUGGUCAAAUAUGGAGAGUUUCAAGCCAACUCCUUGAGUCACUUUGAGACUCAGGGGCUACGAUGACAUGACUAAGCAAAUCUUGCCAGCAAAUUUAAGAACCCCAGGACGAUGGAGGGAAAUAUAACCCGGUCCCGGAGGCUACUGUUAUUUGAAGGCUGUCAGAAAAUUUCCGGCUUAGUAAGUAUCUGAUAGUUACAAUAUCCCGGCUCAAUGAAGAAGUUCCAGAUCAUCAGAAAGGAUUCCGGUUUAAAAUCUGGCUCAAGGGAAGUCAGUCUCAUUGAAGCUCUCAAAUAUCUGGUUUACAAUCCGGUUCAAGGGAAAUCUGUUCUCCCACAAAGCUCUGAAGCGCCCAAAUCCGGUUUAACAAUGUCCGGUUCAAAAAGGAAUUAACUUCUCGCAAGUUCGAGUUUAAAGACCGUCAGAAAAUUUCCGGCUGAAAAUGAAGAUUCCGGUUUAAAAUCCGGGUCAAGGGAAAGAUGUCUCCCACAAAGCUUUGAAGCUCUCAAUAUCCGGUUCAAGAUCCCGAUUCAAGAAGAAUUUAUCUCUUGCAAGAAAGUUAAAAAUUGCCGAACAGGACCUGCUGCCAUGAUGCGCGGUUCAAACAUGGGUAUCCUGCCUUAUUGGCCUAACAUAUUAUUGAUCUCAUGGGGGCUUCUGCUUCAUAAAGCGGGUGAUGGAGUCACGUACCUAGGGUAGGGUCACAGACCUGAUCUAAGUACCCUGCCCGAGGACACCCUUAGAAGAGAUCACCUUCCAGUCGACCUACGAGGGACUCACUUGACUGACUUGAAGGACUCGACCACGAAAACUCACUCGACCACCAGAAGGUCAAGAGGCACUCUGCACUGCAACGGCCUGUUAUUAAGUAGACUUUAUGAUAGUAAAGACACUUUAUGUGGGGCGUUACCUGUAACGCCCCGGACUUAAUACACCUUAAACCCUUCAUUAUGUGGGCUGGCUAGGGUCCUGGCGCACUCUAUAUAAGCCACCCCCCUCCACAGGCAGAAGGGUUCGGCACCUUGUAAUCCAUAUACACAUAAUCCACUCGACCGCCUCCGGGCUCCGAGACGUAGGGCUUUUACUUCCUCCGAGAAGGGCCUGAACUCAUACAUCUCUUGUGUUUACGACCUCUCCAUAGCUAGGACCUUGCCUCUCCAUACCUACCCCCCACUCUACUGUCAGACUUAGAACCACGACAGUUGGCGCCCACCUUGGGGCAGGUGUUUUAGCGAUUUUGUGGAGAAGUUGUGAUUCUUCCGAGUACUUUCAUCAUGGUGGCUGCUGGAGUUUUGGUCGAGGGUCGAGAGAUCCGUCUCGGUGCUCUCACCUUCAUCACCGCCGAUUCCGCCUGGCUCCAGGAGGCUCCACUCGACAUCGAUGCGCUCCCCGUCCGCGGUGCGACGCAUUUUCGCGCAUGUGUUCGCGGCGUUCUGCUGCGGCAACCGUCGACCCCGUAUCGGUCGACUCCCCCGUCGGCCACCCUCCCGGUCUCCCGCCAGCGUAAGCGCUCGGGCCGGUCGAGGCUUCAGCGGUGGGUGAGGCACGCGGUGGCUCGCCAGACGGCCACCACCCAAGUUGCGGCAAUCGAGCCCGACGAAUCUCUCUACGGCCUGUUCGAUCUGUCGACUGGCUCCGUAGAGACUGCAUCCGAGUUCGAUAGCAGUGAUCCAGCGGCGGAAAUCCUGAUGGUCGAUGGGCCCCGCAGUCCCCCUGGCUUCGCCCGUGAUGGUGGGGCAGGCGACGGCGGCGACCCCGCACGAGACCACGAAGAGUACCAGCCCGAGCCACUCGACUCUCUGCAAAGAGAGGAACUUCGCCGCAGGAACGUGGAUGCCCUGCGUACUCCCAUCGCAGGAGAAACCCCCGAGGCUCGUGCCUUAGAGGAGGCGCGUUUGGCCAAUUUGGCCGAACGCACUCGACUGGAGAAUCUUCAGCGAGCACUCGACGAGCGCUCGCGGCAACGAGUUCCCGACACCAGUCGACAUCAACUCUUCCCACCGACUCAGGUAUAUCGAACCCCAGUCCAGAAUUUAGCAGCUGCGACCCGUAUUGCAGAGUCCAUCCAGCCCUCUCAGUCGGAAGCUGGCAGAGGCUUGAUGCAGAUCAGGGAUCUGCUCCGGGCAGCAGGCGAUCAAAAUUCGGCCGUAUCGCAGUCGCGCAACAGAAUUCACAGUCGAUCCGUCGCUGCGAAUACUGUUCAGUCGGCUCACAGCCCCAGAUCGCCUCCGCGGCGUGAAGGGCGCGAGAAUCGGCGAGACCAAUAUGGAGACCGACACGACCGAUAUGAUAGGCGUCGAGUGCCCAAUUCCCCUCUGAGGGGUGGGUCUUACGCUCCUCGGCAGCAAGAUGACAGACGUCAGCUCAGUGCGGGGCGAAGAGUUCCAGUCGACCCUAGAGAACCAGGCUUCGAUGCGCGAUCCAUUAUCGUGCAAGGCUUGGUCGACCGGAACAGAGCCCAUCGAGGUGGACUCGACAGAGAUGCUCCCACGAGCAGUCGAGUGCAUGUUUCUGGUCCUGAAUGUUUCAGCAGAGCUAUCAGAGCCGCAGUGAUCCCUCCCAAUUUCAGGUUGGCAACAGGAGUCAGCAAGUUCACUGGUGAGUCUAAGCCUAAAACUUGGCUUGAGGACUACCGAGUGGCGGUUCAGAUUGGUGGUGGGAACGACGAAGUGCGAUGAAGCAUUUGCCCCUCAUGCCGGAAGGUUCUGCCAGGGCAUGGUUGACUCAAUUACCUCCUAGCAGCAUUUACACUUGGGAAGAUCUGUCCCGAGUGUUCAUCAGAAUGUUUGAAGGAACUUGCAAGCGACCGGCUGGACUGACGGAGCUGCAAGUCUGCGUGCAGAAGACCAAUGAGACCCUCAGGGAGUAUAUUCAGAGAUGGAUCACUUUGCACCAUACUGUGGAGAAUGUGUCUGAUCAUCAGGCAGUCUGCGCCUUUAAGGAUGGUGUCAAGAACAGAGAAUUGAGUUUGAAAUUUGGUCGAACCGGUGACAUGACCUUGAGUCGGAUGAUGGAGAUUGCUACCAAGUAUGCCAAUGGCGAAGAAGAAGACCGACUCCGAAGCGGCAAGCACAAUCCGAGUCAGUCGGAAAAGGGAAACACCAGUCGGAAACAGAAGUGGAAGGCUGAACCGGCAGCUCCUGGGGAGGCUCUGGCCGUGACUCAGGGAAAGUUUAAAGGGAAACCAAGAGGAUCCUGGAACCCUAAGAAGGUAAAGGAUAAAGAAGGGAAUGACGUGAUGGAUAUGCCGUGUCACAUCCACACGAAGAAAGACGAAGAGGGGAAUAUCAUCUACCCGAAGCAUACCACUCGCCAAUGUCGACUCCUGAUCCAGCAGUUUCAGGGAAAACAGUCUAAAGACAAGGAGAAGGAGUCGGACAAGGCCGAAGACAAGGAGGACAGUGAGGAAGGAUAUCCGCAUAUUAACUCCACUCUGAUGAUCUUUGCAGAUGUGGAAAGCAAGAGUCGAUUGAAAGUUAUUAACCGUGAGGUGAACAUGGUUGCCCCAGCAAAAGCAAAUUAUCUGAGAUGGUCCCAAACACCCAUCACAUUCGACCAAUCUGAUCACCCGACUCAUAUUGCCACCCCUGGGAGGCAAGCUUUGGUGGUCGAUCCAGUUGUCGAAGGCACUCGACUGACAAAAGUGCUGAUGGACGGUGGUAGUGGGCUGAAUUUGUUGUAUGCAGACACACUGAAAGGAAUGGGCAUUCCGAUGUCUCGACUGAGCACCAGUAACAUGAGCUUUCAUGGAGUUAUACCAGGGAAGAAAGCCGAGUCACUCGGCCAAAUAGCUCUGGACGUGGUGUUUGGUGAUUCGAAACAUUUUCGCAAAGAGAAGUUGACGUUUGAGGUCGUGGAUUUUCAGAGUGCAUAUCAUGCCAUUUUGGGGAGACCAGCUUAUGCACGGUUCAUGGCUCGACCAUGUUACGUGUACCUCAAAUUGAAGAUGCCCGGCCCCAAAGGAGUGAUCACUGUCACCGGUGAUCGGAAAAAGGCAGAAGAGUGCUUUCAGAAGGGCUCAAAGAAUGCCGAUUCCCAGGUGACAGCGGUCGAGUUUGAAGAAUACAAGCAAAACGCAGAUCCGAGUGACUUGCUACGAUCCAAGAAACCCGCCACAGAAUCUGCAUUUCAGUCGUCCGGUGAGACGAAGCCUAUUCACAUUCACCCGACCGACCCCGAUGCAGCUCCGACCCACAUCUCCACGACACUCGACCCGAAAUAGGAAGAAGCGCUCAUCCAGUUCCUCCGUGAGAACUGGGACAUUUUUGCAUGGAAGCCCGCUGACAUGCCAGGUGUUCCCAGGGGACUGGCCGAGCAUCGCCUAAGAGUCGACUCAUCUGCAAAACCAGUCAAAGAGCAUCUUCGGCGGUCCGCCGUCUAGAAGAGAAAAGCCAUUGGUGAGGAAGUGGCUCGACUGUUGGCGGCAGGAUUUAUCCGAGAGAUAUACCACUCCGAGUGGCUCGCUAAUGUCGUCAUGGUUCCUAAGAAGGACAAAUCACUCCGAAUGUGCAUUGAUUUCAAGCACAUCAACCGGGCCUGCCCGAAAGAUCAUUUUCCUCUCCCUCGCAUAGAUCAAAUUGUUGCCUCGACCGCGGGAUGCGAGAGAUUGUCUUUUCUAGACGCCUACUCCGGGUACCACCUGAUCCGUCUGUACGGACCCGACGAGGUAAAAACAGCUUUCAUCACUCCAUUCGGGUGCUUCUGCUAUAUCACCAUGCCAUUCGGCCUCAAGAAUGCCGGAGCCACAUUUAUGCGAAUGAUUCAGAAGUGUCUACUCACUCAAAUCAGUCGGAAUGUGGAAGCGUAUAUGGAUGAUAUCAUCGUCAAGUCACGAAAAGGUUCCGACCUGCUCGCUGACCUCGCCGAAACAUUUGCCAACCUCAGAAGGUAUGAUAUCAAGCUCAAUCCAUCAAAGUGCACAUUCGGAGUUCCUGGUGGCAAGUUACUCGGUUUUCUCGUUUCCGAGCGAGGGAUCGACGCUAAUCCAGAGAAGAUCGGUACUAUUCUCCGAAUGAAACGCCCUGUGCGAGUGCACGAUGUCCAGAAGCUUACUGGAUGCUUGGCCGCAUUAAGUCGAUUCAUCUCACGACUCGGUGAAAAGGCAUUGCCUCUUUACCGACUGAUGAAGAAGGCAGACAAGUUCGAGUGGACUCCAGAAGCUGAUGCAGCGUUUGCCGAGCUAAAAGCUCUGCUCUCCACCCAGCCGGUGCUUGCUGCUCCAAUCAGCAAAGAGCCUUUGUUGCUUUAUAUCGCAGCCACAGGACAAGUCGUCAGUACUGUGCUUACGGUCGAGCGGGAAGAAGAAGGAAAAGCUUUCAAAGUUCAGCGCCCAGUGUAUUAUUUGUCUGAAGUCUUGACUCCAUCCAAGCAAAGAUAUCCUCAUUAUCAGAAGCUUGUGUAUGGAAUAUACAUGACCACAAAGAAGGUUGCUCAUUAUUUCUCUGAUCAUUCCAUCACAGUCGUCAGCGACACUCCACUAUCAGAGAUCUUGCACAACAGAGAUGCAACUGGUCGAGUGGCUAAAUGGGCGAUUGAACUUCUUCCCCUUGAUAUCAAGUUUGAGGCAAAGAAAGCCAUUAAGUCCCAGGCAAUAGCAGAUUUCCUUGCCGAGUGGAUGGAACAGCAGCAGCCGACUGAAGUUCACUCGGAGCAUUGGACCAUGUUCUUUGAUGGCUCUAAGAUGUUGAAUGGUUCCGGUGCUGGGGUUGUCCUGGUUUCCCCCAGAGGAGAUAAGCUCAGAUAUGUGCUCCAGAUUCACUUUGAUUCCUCCAACAAUGAGGCAGAAUAUGAGGCCCUCUUAUACGGAUUGCGCAUGGCCAUUUCACUCGGCGUCCGUCGCCUGAUGGUCUAUGGCGACUCGGAUUUAGUGGUCAACCAAGUGAUGAAGGAGUGGGACGUGAGAAGCCCAGCCAUGACUAGAUACUGCAGUGCAGUGAGGAAGCUGGAAAAGAAGUUCGAGGGGUUGGAGCUCCAUCAUAUACCCGGACUGAAAAAUCAAGCAGCUGAUGAUCUAGCAAAGAUAGGUUCCAAGAGAGAAGCCAUUCCGAGUGGUGUGUUCUUGGAGCAUAUACACACUCCGCCAGUCAAAGAAGAUCCUUUCACCGAAGAAGCUCCACAGCCCAAGAGUGCCACAGAUCCGACUGAGGUUGAAGUUCCAGCAGUGGUCGACUUGGUCAUGGAGGUCUUGGUGGUCAUUCCCGACUGGACAGUUCCAUAUAUCGCGUAUAUCCUGAGAAAAGAGCUCCCGGAGGAUGAGGAAGAGGCUCGACAGAUUGUCCGUCGAUCUAAAGCUUUUACCGUAAUCAAAGGACAGUUAUACAGAGAAAGCGUGACUGGAGUUGGUCAGAAGUGUAUAACACCAGAAGAAGGUCGAAUCAUCCUUAAUGAUAUCCACUCGGGAACCUGUGGUUAUCAUGCGUCCUCUCGGACCAUCAUGGCCAAAGCAUACCGAGCCGGAUUUUACUGGCCAAAGGCGAAUGAGAUGGCAAAGGAAAUAGUGGAUAAGUGCGAAGGAUGUCAGUUCUACUCGAAUAUGUCACACAAGCCUGCAUCAGCUCUGAAGACCAUUCCACUCGUCUGGCCUUUCGCAGUAUCGGGGUUGGACAUGGUCGGUCCUUUGAGAACAGGUCGAAGUGGCUUCACGCAUGUACUGGUGGCAGUCGACAAGUUCACCAAGUGGAUUGAGGCUAAACCAAUCAAGAACCUUGACGCCGGUGCUGCUGUUAGCUUCAUCAGGGAACUGAUAUUCAGAUAUGGAGUCCCGCACAGCAUCAUUACGGAUAAUGGGUCGAACUUUGACUCGGAGGAAUUCAGAGAUUUCUGUAACUCUCAAGGCACACGAGUCGACUACGCUUCAGUCACCCAUCCGCAGUCGAAUGGACAAGCAGAGCGAGCCAAUGGCCUGAUUCUCAAGGGAUUGAAACCCCGACUGAUGCGUGAUCUCAAGCAUGCAGCUGGAGCUUGGGUCGACGAACUUCCCUCGGUGCUUUGGGGACUGCGAACCACACCUAAUCGGUCGACCGGAAGAACUCCAUUCUUCUUGGCCUAUAGAGCUGAAGCAGUCUUGUCGAGUGAUCUUCUCCACAAUGCUCCUCGAGUUGAAAUCUACAACGAAGCAGAAGCUGAACAAGCGUGGCAGGACGCAGUCGACCUUUUAGAGGAAGAAAGGGAGAUGGCUCUGAUCCAGUCGACCAUCUACCAACAAGAUUUGCGUCGUUUCCACGCCAGAAAUGUGAGGGGUCGAGCCUUCCAGGAAGGAGAUUUAGUUCUCUGAGUGGAUCAGAAGAAACAACACAAGCUUGCUCCUUCUUGGGAAGGACCCUUCAUCGUCACCAAAGUUCUCCACAACGGGGCGUACCGUCUUUACAACAUCGAACAUAAUAUCGACGAGCCCCGAGCUUGGAAUGCGGAACUACUCCGCCCAUUUUACACUUAAGUUUAAUCACUCGGAUGAGUUGCAAUAAAGUACUUCUGUAGUUCAUGGAUCUCAAAAUAAUAGUGUCAUAGUUCCUCCAUAAUUUUUGUCACUUUUUAUUUUGUCCAAUAAAAUUUUCCCCUCAGUGGGUGACUUAGCCGCGAAUCCGUUUCGCCUAAGUUUGUAAAAAUCCUACCGAGUGGUGAGCCAGACUCCCACUUAGAGGCUUAGUUGCGAAUCCGUUUCGCCUAAGAUUAAAUAAAAUCCUACCGAGUGGUAAGCCAGACUUCCACUCGGAGGCUUAGCUGCGAAUCCGUUUCACCUAAGAUUAAAUAAAAUCCUACUGAGUGGUAAGCCAGACUUCCACUCGGAGGCUUAGCUGCAGUCCAAGUACUCGCCUAAGAUAUAAAAAUCCUACCGAGUGAAGAGCAAACCUCUCACUCGGAGGCUUAGCUGCAGUCCCAGUACUCGCCUAAGUUAUGAAAAUCCUACCGAGUGAAGAGCAGACCUCUCACUCGGGGGCUUAGCUGCAGCCCAGUGCUCGCCUAAGAUAUAGAAAUCCUACCGAGUGAAGAGCGAACCUCUCACUCGGAGGCUUAGCUGCAGCCCAGUGCUCGCCUAAGAUAUAAAAAUCCUACCGAGUGAAGAGCAAACCUCUCACUCGGGGGCUUAGCUGCAGCCCAGUGCUCGCCUAAGAUAUGAAAAUCCUACCGAGUGAAGAGCAGACCUCUCACUCGGGGGCUUAGCUGCAGUCCAAGUGCUCGCCUAAGAUAUAAAAAUCCUACCGAGUGAAGAGCAAACCUCUCACUCGGGGGCUUAGCUGCAGCCCAGUGCUCGCCUAAGAUAUAGAAAUCCUACCGAGUGAAGAGCAAACCUCUCACUCGGGGGCUUAGCUGCAGUCCAAGUACUCGCCUAAGUUAUGAAAAUCAUACCGAGUGAAGAGCAAACCUCUCACUCGAGGGCUUAGCUGCAGCCCAGUGCUCGCCUAAGUGGAUUAAGGAAUAAGUCGACUGCAGUGAGCAUCUUGCUUUGAGCCUGCAAAAGACAUUUCGAGCCAAAAGUAAUCAUAUUCAAACACCAAGUUCAAGUUGGGAUCGAUUCCAAAGGAACCGAAAGUGCUCAGGCACUAAGCCUGUUAAAGUUUAUCGGUUACAACUCCACUCGGCAUACCGAGGCAAAUUUAAAGCGUCAAGCUUAGAAGAAGUUUUUUACCCCUCCCGUGGAGGGCUGGAAGGUGCAACAAACUCAUCAAGAUCAAUUCCAUCUACGAUCUGACUAGCAGCAGCAAGGAAAGUUUCCAUAAAGGACCUGAAGUCGUGUUUCUUGGUGUUGGCCACCCGGAGGGCCGCCAGCUUGUCUUCUCGCGCAUCUUUGCAGUGGACUCGGGCCAGACACAGAGCAACAUCUACACCGCACCGAUCCGAGGACUUUUUCCACUCCUGCACUCGACCAGGGACUGUGUUCAAGCGAGCCAUCAGCGACUCGAGGUCGUUCUGGAGUGUCUCCCUAGGCCAGAGCGUCGAGUCGAUGCGAGAUGUGGCGACCUUCAGCCUUGCAUGAUAGUCCACGACAGCUGCAACACGGGACUCCAGUCGGAAAACAUUCAUGGCAACUUCGUCGUUCACCGGAGAAUUGACGGGGUCAAGGUUUGGUUCCAGCCGGCUAGUUUCUUCUUCAAAGUUUCGGCAAAAUUCUGCAAGGACGAUCACCGAGUCAAGGCAAUGGUCGAAUGGAAAAACCACGGUUGGAAAUGAUUGCCGAGCAUAGAGAUUUACCUUCAAGCAUAAGAAACAACUUCUUGGCAAGACCAUUCAGGAAGGCCUCCAGAUCUUUUUUCUUCCCAAGAGCAGCUUUCAGAUUGGUAUUUUCUUGCUCAAGCUUUGCGACUGAAGCUAACUUCUCGUCAACAAGCUUGAUCUUCUCAGCUAGUUCAAGGUCUUUCUUCCGUUGGGCCUCCCUCACCUUACCUGCAAGUUACAGCAAGAUCAGAUUUUGAAACAAAUGAAGGGAAAAAGCAGUCGUCAAGGUCUCACCAAACAUACCUUCGGUCUCCUCCUUUGCCUUCGUCAGAUUCUCCUGAACCAGUUUCAAAUUCAGCUUGAGCUGAAUGUGCUUGUUUUCCAACUCAGAGUAGCGAGCCACAAGAUCACAGGAGUUCUGUGAAGAACCAGUCGACUAAAUGUCAAAUAUAAUUCACUUCCGAGUGAAAAAGGAAAAAUCACGCGUUUCUAAGACUACAGCCGAAUACAAGCAUUCGACCGUAGUCUCGGGGACUACACCCAGUGGGUGCACUCAGCGUGCCUCCACUAAUCCUAUUGAAGAUAAAGUCGACCAGUCGACCUCAAAAAAGAGAUAUAUUCUUUAAGACUGUAAUCGAUUGCCAGCAGUCGACCACAGUCUCGGGGACUACACCCAGUGGGUGCACUCAGCGUGCCCCCACCGGUUUGCGAAAUCCAUUCGACAUAGUCGAAUGACGGAAAUACUAAACUUAUGAAGCCUAAGACCGACUGCCAGCAGUCGACCUUAGCCCUGGAGACAGAGUCGACCAGUCGACCGGUUUACGAAAUCCAGUCGCCAUAGUCGAAUGACGGAAAGACUGAAAUUAUAAAGCCUAAGGCCGACUGCCAACAGUCGACCUUAGCCUUGGGGACUACACCCAGCGGGUGCACUCAGCGUGCUCCCGCUAACACGGAGUUUAACUCGACACACCCACUGGGUGACUACUAUAAAUUCUGGAAAGAAAAGUUUUUGAUAGCAUAUCCUAACAGAACAAACGGUGGUCGACUGACCUGAACAUUGCUUUGGAGGGCGGAACUGGCGUCGUAAGCUGCCUGGCUCGCAUCCCGGAUGGUCUUCAACUGCUCCAUCAUGAUCCCUACCUGGCGUAUCGCCUCCUUCACUGCGCCAGCUUGGUCCUCUGGGACGUGGUGCGUCGUGAAGAGGGAGGGCUGCGGAGCACUCGUCAGUGGAUCUGCGAAGGACACGGUGUGUCGAGUGGUGUUCUCCUCCUCCGCGACCAGAGUCUCAGGCACCGUCACAUCCUGGGUCACCCUGCUGGCAGACGCUUUCCUACUCCUUCUGUACUUCAGCGGUUCCUCAUCUUCAUCAUCAUCAGGGAGAGUGAUAACAACAUUGGAUGGAGCUACAGAAAAGAAUCAGGAUUAGAUCAUGAGUCAGUCGACUAAAGACGGUGUUAAGAGUAUAGUUCCAGGUUUUGAGGUUGCUACGUCCUCCAUCUCAUGGUCGUCAGCCCGGGCCGAGGUCUCAGAAGUAGCAGCGCUGCAACUCCAAAGAGUCAGUCGACUAACUCCAGCGCCAACCAGAGAUAAAGUUCACACAAAACAAGAAGACUUAAGCAACACGAUUACCCUGAUAUGGUGGGGAUGGACACCUUCAUCUUCGGCAGGUGCUUGGUCGGCUUCGACGGGGCCGCCCUGGGCUGCUUCGACGCCUUUUCAGUCGGCGCCGGAGGGGUGGUCCGAGGGUGCUUGGUCGACUGUGUAACAGUCGCAAACCCCUCGCCGCGUUCGGUCUUAGGGUCAUGGACAAGUUUCGACCGCCUUUCCGAGCGCGGUGGUGCGACCUCCUCCUCCUCCUCCUCUUCCUCGUCCUCAUCAUCAUCAUCAUCAUCAUCAGCCUCAGCAGCGUCCGAGUCCCACUCCUCCUCCUGGCUCUCGCCCCCGCUCGCUUCUCCCUCCUCGGUCGGAGCCUGUGCUCCAUUGGGCAUCGAGUACAGCUCAGUGAGGGCCUGAAAGACAUCAAGACAAAGAUCAGUCGACCGAUCAGCAGAGAAAACAGAAAUAAAUGUGACGAGAAUACAAUGGGAAGUGGAGCAGACAUACCUUGUUUGGAUCACUAUGGCAGUCGAGUGGAGGAAUCCUUCUGGCUCCGCGUGGGUUAUCUUUGUUCCCAGUAACAGCGGCCAUCCACCUUUCCAGAGUGGUAUCGUCGACUGUUUCUGGAUUGACCCGAGUCACAUCCUCAGUCCCGCAGUACAACCACAUGCAAUGGCUCCGGAACUGAAGAGGCUGGAUUCGACGCCUAAGGAAAACCUCCAGGAGAUCCAUACCCGUCACCCCCUCCCGAACCAACUGAACUACGCGCUCCAUCAGCAUCUUCACGUCAGCUUUCUCCUCCGGAAUCAACUACAGAGAGGAGGGCUUGUUCACUCGGUCCAUGUUAAAUUGAGGGAGUCCACUCGACUGCCCCGGCGUCGACUGAUCCUGGCAGUAGAACCAGGUCGACUGCCAGCCUCUGACUGACUCGGGAAAUGUCAUGGCUGGGAAGGUGCUCUUGUUCCUCACCUGGAUCCCCAGACCUCCACACAUUUGGACAACUCGGGUUCUUUCGUCGCCUGGGCUCGCCUUCUUCACGGUUUGAGAGCGACACGUGAAUAUGUGCUUGAACAAGCCCCAAUGCGUUCGACAGCCCAGAAAACUCUCACACAUGGACACAAACGCGGCAAGAUAGGCGAUAGAAUUCGGGGUGAAGGGGUGGAUUUGCGCUCCGAAGAAGUUCAAGAAACCACGGAAGAAAAUGCUCGGCGGCAAAGAGAAUCCGCGGUCGACAUGGGUAGCCAGAAGCACGCACUCACCCUCUUCCGGCUGAGGCUGCCACUCUUUCGCCGGAAGCCUCGCAGCUCCAUGAGGGAUCAGGCCCUCAUUGGCCAUGUCGAGGAGAUCCUUCUCCGUGAUGGUCGACUGGAUCCAAUCUCCCUGGACCCAGCCUUUCGGCAGGCGAGAUCUAGACGAAGACCCGCGGCGGCUGGUGGAUCUCCCCUUCGCCUUCUCCGUCGCCGACGCCUUCUUCGCGCGCUCCAGCGCUGCCGUCUUCUCCUUGACCAUGGCUACCGGCGAGGCGCGUGAGGAGAAGUUGUGCGGAGGCGAGAGCGUGCGCGUUGGGCGGAGACGAAGGGAGCAGAGAGAGAAUGCUAAGGCACUGUUCAAAAAACCCUCGCCGGGCGCAUUUAUAAGAUCCCUUCCGAGUGGAUGACAGGUGGGCCCGGUCGAUCCAAUCAUAUCCUAUAACAGUUGCGCAAGCGUGAUACGUGGCGAAAAAAGCGGCGCGGGAAUCGAGGCGUCUAUGCCCCGUCCCAUCCGAGCGCCGCGGUCCGCUCCGCUUCGCGCGCUCCCCCAAAUUCCAUAUCCCGUGGAAUCCGCAGACGGCAGAUCAGUCUGCCAGACGCAGGAUUUCCUGUGAUCCGUCGCUCGGAAAUCAGCGAAGUCCAAAAAGAUCACUCGACGAAGAAGAAGAAUGGAUCGAGUCGACUGAAGAAAAGUUGCUCACUAUCAACAGAGAGAAUUGUUUGGUUCAAAAACAACGCACAACCAGUAUGCAAAAGCUAAUCGGAAACAACAUCAACUCCUUCAUCACUCAAGCCUCAAUCCAUUCGGGGGCUAAUGAUGGAGUCACGUUCCUAGGGUAGGGUCACAGACCUGAUCUAAGUACCCUGCCCGAGGACACCCUUAGAAGAGAUCACCUUCCAGUCGACCUACGAGGGACUCACUCGACUGACUUGAAGGACUCGACCACGAAGACUCACUCGACCACCAGAAGGUCAAGAGGCACUCUGCACUGCAAUGGCCUGUAAUUAAGUAGACUUUAUGAUAGUAAAGACAGUUUAUGUGGGGCGUUACCUGUAAUGCCCCAGACUUAAUACACCUUAAACCCUUCAUUAUGUGGGCUGGCUGGGGUCCUGGCACACUCUAUAUAAGCCACCCCCCUCCACAGGCAGAAGGGUUCGGCACCUUGUAAUCCAUAUACACAUAAUCCACUCGACCGCCUCCGGGCUCCGAGACGUAGGGCUUUUACUUCCUCCGAGAAGGGCCUGAACUCGUACAUCUCUUGUGUUUACGACCUCUCCAUAGCUAGGACCUUGCCUCUCCAUACCUACCCCCCACUCUACUGUCAGACUUAGAACCACGACAGCGGGGUCUCUGUUCUUUUUUACAUCAUGCGUGGUUACAUGGAGUGGUUCUAUUUUAAAGCGGCCUCCGGUUUACCCCUUGAAAUUUGUUUUUCAAAAAAGCUUUGUGAUAUCACUUGGGGCCUUGGUCGUGUCCGAACCAAUGCGACACCUUUUGAAAGGCGAAAGCCACCAGAUCACUUGGGGACAUGGUCAAGUCUGAACCAGUCACGCCUCUUGAUCGGCCUAAGGCCACAGAAUCACUUGGGGGCUUGGUCGAACCCGAACCAUUGCCACGCCUUUUGAUCGGCAUAAAUGCCACGGUUUCAUUUGGGGACCUGGCUGACUUGAACCAUUGUCACUCCUAUUGGGGGCUUGGUCCUGUCCGACCGUGGUAACACCAUCUGAUCAGCUCAGUAAAGCAUGUUUUUGCAAACGGUUUUUAUUAGUGCCUUUGCUUCCAUAUUUUUUCAUAACUGUUAUUUGAUUUUGGUCGCGUUUUUUAAACCAACAUUGUUAAUCCGGUUCAAACUAUCAAUUACAAAUUGGCGGAACACGGUUAAAUCCUAAUCCGGAGACUAUCUGCCCGGUUUGAUUUUAUGUUACCAUCUUAUUAUGGAGUAAACCGGCGUUCAUUAACCCGGCUUGACUUUCAAUUACAAGUUGUCAAUACAGGAUCAAGUUAUAAUCCGGAGACUAUCAGCCCGGUCUGGUUUGACUACGAGUCGCCAGUAUUAUAUAUGGUUAAACCGGUGUUUAUCACAACCCGGUACGGUUUAUCAUCAACCGGCACAGUAUGAAAGGAAUUAUCAUUACUCAAGAUUGGGGUUAUCACUCUUACUACAAAAAGUUGGUAAAACCAGCAAUGUGAUUCAAUAUCACAGGUAUGAUAUAUUUCAUAUUUGGUUAUUCUUAAAUGCAACCUUGGUUAUAAACCCAGGUUAUAUGUUGGGCAUUAUGACCCAUCCGGCGGUAAACCGCUAGGACACUUUAAACUUGUUGUAUGCAGAAACAGGUUGAAUAAAGCAUGAUUAUAAAUUAUCCGGUGUUUAUUAAACCGGCCUGGCUUUAAGACGAUAAGUCGCCAGUAUAUGAUGGGAAAUUAUCCGGUGUUUAUUAAACCGGCCUGGCUUUGGACUAUACGUCGCCAGUAUAUAUUUGGAUUGCGCCAUUGGAAUCAUGCGCUUAUAAAUGAUUGGGUUAUAUUAUUCAAAUAGCCAAAUUUGGCUGAAUUUUCAUUAUGAUAUUGGAUGAAUUUUUCAUACCGGAUUAUAUUAUCUUGAAUAGCCAACAUGGCUGGAUUUCUAUGGUUAUUAAUAACCGGUAUUAUUGAGUUUUCAAAGUCGCUUUAGUGCAACAGUUAUUAUUUUAUCAAAGGAUAUGAUUUAUUCUACAAUGGAAGGAAUAGUCCCGAGUCGCUGCAGGCUCACGACCCGACACUUGGGGGCUAUAUUAUUCAAAUUGAGAUUACAUGCAAGUCCCAUGUCACUGCCAGCAUGCACCAUGGUACUUUGGGGCUAAUGCAAACUCAUUUUUACUGGCUUAUUGAAGACCCAACUCAUCACAUUGUAAUGAGCCGGCCCUUGGGGGCUACCAAUUGCUUCUGUCAACAGUUGAAGAUACAAAGCUUUUUAUUCAUUAUAUUGAAGGGCCCGUCUGCUCAGUUGGUAAAGCACAAGGCUCUUAACCUUGUGGACGUGGAUUCAAGUUCCAUGAUGGGGGCUACACAUCAUUGCUCAACUCUACAUGAUUAUACCUACAAAGUCCCUGCUCAUUAUUGCAUAAUGACCCGACCCUUGGGGGUUACACUGGUUGAAGUUUUUAUGAGUAUAAGACAAAGUCCCAGGUUGCUGCAAGCAUGACAACCCGGCACUUGGGGGCUAUAUAGUAUGGAGUAUUCAGUUUUUACUAGUCACUGGGAUGAACAACAUGGAUUUCUUUGAAAGUGGCAGUAUUUAUACCGAAGCAAAGUCUUAAGCCACCACUUUGUUCUGCUCAAAGACUUGGGGGCUACAGCGUUGGCAACAAUCAUGAACCGGUGUCUGCAACAAUCAUGACUCGGAAUUAUCAGUUUUAUAACCCGACAAUGGUGGUAAUCAUAAACCGGCAAGUUUUACAUCUUCAAGCCGGCUGGAUAUCAGUUGAAUAUUUCAGAGACUAAUAUUUUUGUCAAGUCAGAGCAUUGAAGGCCAAUUCAAAUGGAUUCUUUAUUUACAAUAUUUUUUCUGCGAGCAAAUUGAUUAUGAAGCUGGUCUAUUGACUUGGAUUUUCUAGAAGGAGGAAAUGACAAGGAUUUAAGGAUGAUCAGGUGUCGGUCUACAAGAAUUCUUAACCCAGAGCACAACCCGCCAAACUUGUUCUUGUAUUUAUGUUGCAGAUCAGUUUAACAUGGACAAAUCCAAAUUAAACUGGGGGCUAAUGUCGGGGAUAUACCCCGCGGCGUAAACCGUCCGGAAGUAUAACCCGGCCGGACUUGGCAGUUUACUGAGAUCCGGCUGGCACUUGGCGAUUCACUGGCGACCCGCCCUGACCUGGCGGUUUACAAGCAACCCACCUGGUCAUUAUGACUCACUGGUGACCCGGCGGGCGGGUCAGAGGAGCGACAAGACCCCGUGGCCCGUCUGGCGGUUCAUGAAGGCCGGUUCAACUAUUGUGGGCCGGUUUAAGAGGAAAGGCAUAAUGAAUAUUUGUCUUACAAGGAGUUAAGACCUGGACUUGUAUCCGGUUUGUAUUAGAGAUAGACUAGUCCUAAUCCUAAUAGGACUCCACAUGUAACCCGCCCCUUCAACAUAUAUAAGGAGGGGCAGGGCUCCCCAAAGAGCGACAAGCUACAAGCAAGAAGAAAUAAUCUUAGGGCUAGACACAAAGAGGAGAGCCGGUUUACGGCGACUCCCUCGUGAUGAUAAUGAGACCUAGCCUCAAACAGCAUGUAGGGUUUUUACCGGAUGAUGUUUCCCGGGGCCCGAAGCUGUCUAAAUCCCUGUCUUGUGUUGCGUCUCUCGAUUCCGCUCAACCCCUCUCAAGCUACCACAUAGAUGCGUUGGCCUCACGACUAAGUCCUAACACUAAGGACAUCUGACGUGUUAAUUCCACGACAACUCUGGUUAGGUCAAAUCCAUCGAGGAUUGGGUCUAAGACCAGUGCGGCGAAUCCGCCGUGGCGGAUGCUGGUGGGGUGGUCCCUUCGGUCAAAAGUGAUCGGGCAGGAGGACCAUGGAUUGAACUUCGGGGCAACUGGCUCCAUCGCGUAGACAUCCCUGAGUGCACGCUUCCGCUCCCUUUUGGGUAUGUGCAUUGCGUAUAUCAUGUUCACCGUCCGCACCUGUGGGGGGAAACCCUUCUGUCCUCUAUUGUUUGGCGGUUGGGUCUCAUCCUCGUCAUCGCUAUGUAGCCCCUUGUCAUUGUUUUUGGCAAUUAACUUGCCUGCCUGCUUGAAUACCCAACAGUCCCUGUUGGUGUGGUUAGCUGGCUUUUCGGGGGUGCCGUGUAUCUGGCACAAGCGGUCGAGUAUUCGGUCCAAAUUGGACGGACCCGGAGUAGUUCUUUUGAAUGGCUUUUUCCGCUGACCGGGUUUAGAGCCUCUGAAUUCGGCAUUGACUGUUGUAUCCUCAAUAUGAUCGCCGUUAAUGCGGCAUUUGUUUUUGUUGCAACGCGGCCUGCCAUUUUGGUCCUUGAAGUCCGGACUGCCAGAAUUCUUGCUGAGGUUAUUGCUGCAUGCUAGCCAGCUGUCCUCACCCGCGCAGAAGCGGGUCAUGAGUGAUAUGAGGGCUGCCAUGGAUUUCGGCUUUUCCUGUCCCAGGUGCCGGGCAAGCCACUCGCCGCGGAUGUUAUGCUUGAAGGCCGCGAGUGCCUCCGCAUUCGGACAGUCGACGAUUUGGUUUUUCUUGGUUAGGAACCGUGUCCAGAAUUGUCUGGCCGAUUCGUCUGGCUGCUGAAUUAUGUGGCUUAGGUCAUCAGCGUCUGGUGGUCGCACAUAAGUGCCCUGGAAGUUAUCGAGGAAUGCGGCUUCCAGAUCCUCCCAACUCCCAAUUGACUCUGCUGGCAAGCUGUUGAGCCAAUGCCGGGCUGGUCCUUUAAGCUUGAGGGUGAGGUAUUUGAUGGUGUGAAGAUCGUCACCGCGGGCCAUGUGGAUGUGAAGGAGAUAGUCUUCAAUCCAAACCACGGGGUCUGUUGUGCCAUCGUAGGAUUCAAUAUUGACGGGUUUAAACCCUUCGGGGAUUUGAUGAUCCAUUACUUCAUCUGUGAAGCAUAGUGGGUGUGCGGCGCCUCUGUACUGGGCGAUAGCACGACGGAGCUCAAGGGAGCUUGGUCUAUUUUGUUCAGCCCGGCCGGACUUACUAUGUCCGGCGCGACGGUUGUCGUCACGUAUCGUGGGACGCCCACGUGAUCCAUAGAUCGAUCUUGAUUGUCUUGCCUUAUCCUCCAAUAUAUCUCGCAAGUCCGGAGUGUUCCCCUGUGGCCGUGUGCUUUUCGAGCGAUGCCGGGGUAUGGGUCUAGUGAAGGGCCUAGAGGCCUCUCUGUCGCGACCACGGGGUGGUCGGUCAGCCGUAUUGUCUCCUGGUGAUGCGGGUUCGUAAGCCUCCUCCUCUAAUCGGGGGAGCAUCUUGCGUUUAGGGUAGCUUUUGGAGGGGCGUUCGAGCUCAUGCUCUUCGGCCGCGAGGACUUCAGUCCAUCAAUCGGCUAGCAGAUCCUGAUCAGCUCUAAGCUGUUGCUGCUUUUUCUUGAGGCUGUUCGCCAUGGCCAUAAGCCUGCAUUUAAAAUGCUCUUGUUCGACGGGAUCCUCGGGCACGACGAAUUCGUCAUCGUCGAGGCUCGCUUCGUCUCCGGAGGGAGGUGUAUAAUCCUCUGCAUCUUCUUCUGUCGCCCCUUCAUAAGGGCUGGCGUCUCCGUCCUCCUGCGCUGCAUCUUGCUGGAGUGGGUUGUCUUUGGCACUGUCCGGUGUAUUAUUGUCUCCGGUGCCGGAGUCUUCAUUCUUACCGUGGCGGGAUUUAGAGCGGCGCCGCUGACGCCGGCGCUUGGGCUGCUUUUUGGAGGGGUCAUCCUCCUCUGUUCCUUCGCCAUUCCCAUCUUUUGGGAUAUCCACCAUGUAUAUGUCAUAUGAUGAGGUGGCUGUCCAGUGCCCAGUGGGCGCUGGUUCUUGGUCGUCUCAGGCGUCGUCGUCCAUACCGUCGAUGUCCUCGGAGUCGUAGUCUAGCAUGUCAGUUAAAUCAUCGACAGCGGCUACCAAGUGGGUGGUGGGUGGGCUUUGAAUUUCUUCGUUGUCCGCAUCCCAACCGUCCUGACCGCAAUCCGGCCAGGGCUCUCCUGAUAACGAGAGAUAUUUUAGCGAACUCAAGAUGUCGCCGAAAGGUGAGUGUUGAAAGACGUCCGCUGCAGUGAACUCCAUGAUCCGCGCCCAAUCGGAUUUGAUCAGGGCGGGCGCGGUAGGUUCGGAGUCCGGCGAGGAGUCCGACACCGUGGAGUCACGAGCUUUAUGAGGGACAAAGUCAGUGUUCGGCUCUAUCGCCGUAGAGGUUGCAGCGCCCGAGGCGAUGUCUAGCCAUCCGUCCUCGAUCUGCGCGGCCUGCUCCGAAUUGAGGAUUGGAGCAGGCUCGAGUGCGGCCUUCAGGGUACUGUCCAGCGGUAGAGCUAAAUCAUGUCUGCCGUGAUAGUGCAGCACGCUCGGAUGUGGCUCGAAUCCGUCGAAGAUCAAGUCCCCACGGAUGUCAGCCGUGAAGUUCAAACUUCCAAAUCUGACCUGACGGCCAGGGGCGUAGCUUUCGAUCUUCUCCAGUUGGCCAAGCGAAUUGGCCCACAGUGCAAAGCCGCCGAAUAUGAAGAUCUGUCCAGGGAGGAAGGUCUCCCCCUGGACCGCGUCGUUGAUGAUGAUCGAAGAAGCCAUCGAGCCUAUCGGUGCCGACACAGAGGAACUCUCAAUGAAAGCACCAAUGUCGGUGUCAAAACCGACGGAUCUCGGGUAGGGGGUCCCAAACUGUGCGUCUAGGCAGAUGGUAACAGGAGACGAGGGACACGAUGUUUUACCCAGGUUUGGGCCCUCUUGAUGGAGGUAAAUCCCUACGUCCUGCUUGAUUAAUAUUGAUGAUGUGGGUUACAAGAGUAGAUCUACCACGAGAUCAAGGAGGCUAAACCCUAGAAGCUAGCCUAUGGUAUGAUUGUUGUUCGACCUAUGGACUAGGGCCAUCCGGUUUAUAUAGACACCGGAGAGGGCUAGGGUUACACAGAGUCGGUUACAAAGGUAGGAGAUCUACAUAUCCGUAUCACCAAGCUUGCCUUCCACGCCAAGGAAAGUCCCGUCUGGACACGGGACGAAGUCUUCAAUCUUGUAUCUUCAUAGUCUUGUAGUCCGGCCGAUGAUGAUAGUUCGGCUAUCCGGACACCCCCUAGUCUGGAACUCCCUCAGCUGGGACCAACCAGCUCGAGCAGUAUUUGUGUUUUUGAGGUGUGAGCACUGCAGAGUUUUUUGAUGUUUAGCCCGGUUAAUUUUUCUCCUCUCAACAACAACGAAAACAUCGCUGCAGGUAUUAACUGGCCGGGCUGUGGCCCGUCUAGCCCAGGCCAGAUAUCCAGCCCAGAUAUUAUUUUUUUCAAGCUGAAAAUGGCUAGCCCAGCUAUACUUUUUUUUAGGAAUACCCAGGCAAGGUGAAGUUGUUAUUCUCCGCCCCGAUGGGCUGCAAAUCUUUCCUAGGAGGGAUGCGUUAGGCUUAAGAAGAAAAUGGGCUUUAAGAAAUAAUAAAUGGGAUGUAAUUAUAAAAACUAGGCAGUAACUAUAAAAAAUGCACCAAACACGUAAUUACUUUAUACAAUAUUAUUUUUGGAUAUUGAAAAUUUUAAUUUCAUUAAUUGUUGCGAGCGCAAUGUUUUGUUGGAUUUUUACGUAAUAUAAAUUUAUAUUGAAAUUGUAUUUAAUCUGACUAGAAAUUUCGGGAUAAAAAUAUUUCGGAUCCCAUCAAAAUGUGGGAAAUUUUAUUGAAUUCUGUUUUGAACGGUUGGUUGAAAUGGGUUGUACUUUUAACAACUGUAAAUGGGUUGUAGUAAAUUCCAUUAGAAUUCAAAAAUGGGCUACACAUUCUUACAAAUCUCAAAUGGGCUAUAAGUUCUCUGCCACACACUUCUGGCCUUACUAAGUUGACGUGUCCCCUAAAAAAACAGAGUUGACGCGUAUGCAAGGCUUUGUCAACUUAUAGUCAACACACGGUUCUAGCAGUAGUGGCCGUUGGAUGUCCAUCCAACGGAUGCCGUGCUUCUUCUUCAAUCUCGGAUAUUCUAGCUUCUCCCGCCCAAAAAAUGAUUCCUCCCCCUGACAUCUGGGGCGCACCGUUUCGAAAGCUGACCUGUGGGCCUACUAAGUUGACGUACCAAGGGGUUUGUCAACUUAGUCAAUAUAAACGAUUCUAGCUGCAGUGACCGUAUGAUGCCCAUCCAACGGCCAUCGUGCUUCUUCAACCUCUGGUCUUCUUGCUCCAGCCGCCCAAAGCAGCAUCGGUCGUGCCGCUUGCUCCUGCCUCCCGUGGCCGGCUGUGCUGCCGUGGAGGCCUCACCGCCCCAUACUACUCCCACCGCUGGCCAGGCCAUCCCUCCACUCACCCACACCUCCUGUUAUUCUAUGUCUACUACUUGUUGCAAUGAUCAUGAUUGGGGUGAUUCUUCUUUUGAUCUUGAAAAUUUAUUUUACCCUCAUGAUGACUAUGAGAUUGAUAAUAGUGUUUGCAAUAAUAUUGAAAGUGGGUUUGGAAGAGUGUCAACUUUAGAUCCCACAUAUUUGGAGUAUGUUCAAUCUUAUGAUAUUUUUGAUAAAAGUGGGUUUGGAGAGGUCAUGACUUUAGUUAAUGUUAAUCCCACUAUUUUGGAAGAGUGCCAACUUUGCAUACAUGUGGAUCAUGUUAAGAAUAUGUUUUGUGAUAGCUAUAUUUUUGAAUUUUCUUAUGAUCCUACAUGUAAUUAUUAUGAGAGAGGAAAAUAUGGUUGUAGAAAUUUUCAUGUUACUAAAUUACCUCUCGUUAUGUUGAGAUUGCUAAUGUUUCUUUCUUCUUCCUUGCAUAUGCUAGAUCUUGCUUGUCUUACUAAUUUGUUUUCAUAUAAAAUGCCUAUGGGUAGAAAGUAUGUUAGACUUAGAUGUGUUUGUCACGUGUUUCAUGAUGCUCUCUUUAUGCUUCAAUUCUUGUCUUUCAUGUGAGCAUCAUUGAAAUCUCAGUGCCUAGCUAAAAAGGCUAUAAAGAAAAGCGCUUGUUGGGAGACAACCCAAUAUUUUUCCUUGCAGUUAUUAAAUGAAUAAACCAUCUAUCCUACGUUUAGAUGUGGUUUUAUGUUUUAAUUAGUGUUUGUGCCAAGUAGAACCUAUAGGAUAACCUACGGUGAUAGUUAAUUUGAUCUUGCUGAAAAACAGAAACUUUUGCACGCACGAGAAUAAUUUUAAUAAAUCACAGAAACGUGGUGUUGAGUUGAUUAUUUUUUCAGUAGAUCAAUAGACAAAUUUCCCAGGACUUUCUAUUUUUUUAGGAUUUUUAGAGUUCCAAAAGUAUUCGAAAGUUACGGAUUGCUACAGACUUUUCUGUUUUUGACAGAUUCUGUUUUUCGUGUGUUGUUUGCUUAUUUUGAUGAAUCUAUGUCUAGUAUCGGGGGGUAUGAACCAUAGAUAAGUUGGAAUAUAGUAGGUUUAAUACCAAUAUAAAUAAAUAAUGAGUUCAUUACAGUACCUUAUGUGGCGGUUUUUCUUUCUUGCACUAACGGAGCUCAUGAGAUUUCCCGUUGAGUUUUGUGUUGUGAAGUUUUCAAGUUUUGGGUAAAGAUUUGAUGGAUUAUGGAAUAAAGAGUGGCAAGAUCCUAAGCUUGGGGAUGCCCAUGGCACCCCAAGAUAAUUGAAGGACAACCAAAAGCCUAAGCUUGGGGAUGCCCCUGAAAGCAUCCCCUCUUUCGUCUUCGUUUAUCGGUAACUUUACUUGGAGCUAUAUUUUUAUUCACCACAUGAUAUGUGUUUUGCUUGGUGCAUCUUGUAUGAUAUUAUUCUUUGAUUUUUAGUCUACCACAAUCAUCCUUGAUGUACGCACCUUUUGGGAGAGACACACAUGAUUCAGAAUUUAUUAGAAUACUCUAUGUGCUUCACUUGUAUCUUUUGAGCUAGACAGUUUUGCUCUAGUGCUUCACUUAUAUCUUUCUAGAGCACGGCGGUGGCUUUAUUUUGUAGAAGUUAUUGAUCUCUCAUGCUUCACUUAUAUUAUUUUGAGAGUCUUUUAGAACAGCAUGGUAUUUGCUAUGGUUAUAAAAUUGGUCCGAGAAUGAUUGGCAUCCAAGUUGGGUAUAAUAAAAACUAUCAUAGAAAGUGCAUUGAAUGUUAUGAUCAAUUUGAUGCUUGAUAAUUGUUUUGAGAUAUAAAGGUGGUAAUGUUCGAGUCAUGCUAGUUGGGUAAUUAUGAAAUUGAUAAGUACUUGUGUUGAAGUUGGCAAUUCCCGUAGCAUGCACGUAUGGUAAAAGUUGUGUAACAAAUUUGUUGCAUGGGGUGCUCUUUUGAUUGCCUUCCUUAUGUGUGGAGGUCGGGAUCGCGCCAUGGUUAACUCCUACCAACCCUUCCCCUAGGAGCAUGCGUAGUACUACUUUGCUUCGAGGGUUAAUAAACUUUUGCAAAAAGUAUAUGAGUUCUUUAUGACUAAUGUGAGUCCAUGGAUUAUACGCACUCUCACCCUUCCACCAUUGCUAGCCUCUAUUAUGCCGCACAACUUUCGCCGGUAUCAUACACCCACCAUUUACCUUCCUCAAAACAGCCACCAUACCUAUCUAUUAUGGCAUUUCCAUAGCCAUUCCGAGAUAUAUUGCCAUGCAACUUUCCAUCGUUCCGUUUAUUAUGACACGCUCCAUCAUUGUCAUAUUGCUUUUGCAUGAUCAUGUAGUUGACAUCAUAUUUGUGGCAAGGCCACCUUCAUAAUUCUUUCAUACAUGUCACUCUUGAUUCAUUGCAUAUCCCGGUACACCGCCGGAGGCAUUCACAUAGAGUCAUAUUUUGUUCUAAGUAUUGAGUUGUAAUUCUUGAGUUGUAAAUCAAUAAAAGUGUGAUGAUCUUCAUUAUUAGAGCAUUGUCCCAAAGUGAGGAAAGGAUGAUGGAGACUAUGAUUCCCCCACAAGUCGGGAUGAGACUUCAGACUUUAUAAAAAUAAAAGAGGCCAAAGAAGCCCAAAUAAAAAAAGAGGCCAAAGAAGCCCACCAAGAAAAUGAGGGAAAAGAGAGAAGGGACAAUGUUACUAUCCUUUUUCCACACUUGUUCUUCAAAGUAGCACCAUGAUCUUCAUGAUAGAGAGUCUCCUAUGUUGUCACUUUCAUAUACUAGUGGGAAUUUUUCAUUAUAGAACCUGGUUUGUAUAUUCCAAUGAUGAGAUUCCUCAAAAUGCCCUAGGUCUUCGUGAGCAAGCAAGUUGGAUGCACACCCACUUAGUUACUUUUGUUGAGCUUUCAUACAUUUAUAGCUCUAGUGCAUCCGUUGCAUGGCAAUCCCUACUCAGUCACAUUGAUAUCUAUUAAUGGGCAUCUCCAUAGCCCGUUGAUACGCCUAGAUGAUGUGAGACUAUCUUCUCCCUUUUUUGUCUUCUUCACAACCACCAUCCUAUUCCACAUAUAGUGCUAUAUCCAUGGCUUGCGCUCAUGUAUUGCGUGAGAGUUGAAAAAGCUAAAGCACGUUAAAAAGUAUGAACCAAUUGCUUGGCUGAAACCGGGGUUGUGCAUGAUGGGAGUAUUUUGUGUGAUGAAAAUGAAGCAUAGCCUAACUAUAUGAUUUUGUAGGGAUAAGCUUUCUUUGGCUAUGCUAUUUUGAUAAGACAUGAUUACUUGUUAGUAUGCUUCAAGUAUUACUAUUUUUAUGUUAAUAUGAACUUUUAUCUUGAAUCACUUGGAUCCGAACAAUCGUACAUCAAUAAAGAAAAUUACAUUGAGAAAUAUGCUAGGUAGCAUUCCACAUCAAAAAUUCUGUUUUUAUCAUUUACCUACUCGAGGACAAGCAGGAAUUAAGCUUCGGGAUGCUUGAUACAUCUCCAACGUAUCUAUAAUUUUUUAUUGUUCCAUGCUAUUAUAUUACCCGUUUUGGAUGUUUAUGGGCUUUACUUUACACUCUUAUAUAAUUUUUGGGACUAAUCUACUAACCGAAGGCCCAACCUGAAUUGUUGUUUUUUUGCCUAUUUCAGUGUUUCAAAGAAAAGGAAUAUCAAACGGAGUCCAAACGGAAUGAAACCUUCGAGAGCAAUAUUUUUGGAACAAACGCAAUCCAGGAGACUUGGAGUGGAUGUCAAGAAGCAGCUGAGGCAGCCACGAGGGUGCAAGGCGCGCCUUAGGGGGGUGGGCACGCCCCCACCCUCGUGGGCCCCUCGUGGCUCCCCUGACUGGCCUCCUUCGCCUAUAUAUAUCUACGUACCCCAAAAACAUCCACGAGCACCAUGAAACCCUAUUUCCACCGCCGCAACCUUCUGUAUCCGCGAGAUCCCAUCUUGGGGCCUUUUCCGGCACUCCGCCGGAGGGGGAAUCGAUCAUGGAGUGCUUCUACAUCAUCGCCAAGACCUCUCUGAUGAGUUGUGAGUAGUUUACCACAGACUUUCGGGUCCAUAGUUAUUAGCUAGAUGGCUUCUUCUCUCUCUUUGAAUCUCAAUAAAAAGUUCUCCUCGAUCUUCUUGUAGAUCUAUUCGAUGUAACUCUUUUUGCGGUGUGUUUGUCGAGAUCCGAUGAAUUGUGGGUUUAUGAUCAAGCUUAUCUAUGAGAAAUAUUUGAAUCUCCUCUGAAUUCUUUUAUGUAUGAUUGGUUAUCUUUGUAAGUAUCUUUGAAUUAUCAGUUUGGUUUGGCCUACUAGAUUGAUAUUUCUUGCAAUGGGAGAAGUGCUUAGCUUUGGGUGCAAUCUUGCGGUGUCCUUUCCCAGUGACAGCAGGGGUAGCAAGGCACGUAUUGUAUUGUUGCCAUAGAGGAUAAAAAGAUGGGGUUUAUAUCAUAUUGCUUGAGUUUAUCCCUCUACAUCAUGUCAUCUUGCUUAAUGUGUUACUUUGUUCUUAUGAACUUAAUAAUCUAGAUGCAUGCUGGAUAGCGGUCGAUGUGUGGAGUAAUAGUAGUAGAUGCAGAAUCAUUUCAGUCUACCUGUCGCGGACGUGAUGCCUAUAUACAUGAUCAUGCCUAGAUAUUCUCAUAACUAUUUACUUCUCUAUCAAUUGCUCGACAGUAAUUUGUUCACCCACCGUAAUACUUAUGCUAUCUUGAGAGAAGCCACUAGUGAAACCUAUGUACCCGGGUCUAUAUUCCAUCAUAUAAGUUUUCGAUCUACUUUAUUUUGCAAUCUUUACUUUCCAAUCUAUAUCAUGAAAAUACCAAAAAUAUUUAUCUUAUCUUAUUAUCUCUAUCAGAUCCCACUUUCGCCAGUAGCCGUGAAGGGAUUGACAACCCUUUAUCGCGUUGGUUGCGAGGUUCUUGUUUGUUUGUAGGUACGAGGGACUUGUGUGGAGCCUCCUACUGGAUUGAUACCUUGGUUCUCAAAAACCGAGGGAAAUAAUUAUGCUACUUUGCUGCAUCACCCUUUCCUCUUCAAGGGAAAACCAACGCAGUGCUCAAGAGGUAGCAAACAUCUAUGAACCGUGUACGACUACCGUCGCCGUGGAUCCGGCAAGAUCCGUGUACAACUACUUCCACUACGAUUGUCACGAGAACGUCUACUUCCUCUACUUCCCACCGACUUGAACCGCCCCAAAACGUACGCUUCGAAGGUGUAACCGCUGAGACGAUCCCCGUGGACGAAUGCAUGUGUUGUAUGAGAUGCUCAUGUUUGCACCAUGUCUGAGUUGUUCCUUGCGCGUCCCUCAUUGCCUUGCCGUCGACACGUGGGAACCCGGUAAUGGGAUCACCCCACCAUCCUUGCAUGACACGCUUCCGACCACUUCUUUUGCAUUGGUAUCUCAAUGAGUAACUAGAACCGAUAUGUUGCCGUGGCAUCAUUUUCGGAUUCAUCGUUGUGGCACCCUCUCUUUCCACCAUGGUGGCAAAUGCUUCAUAACAUGCUCAUGUCAACAUGUUCAUAAAAUUGCAUAAAACUUGCAUAUGUCAUACGCAUCAUGAUUACAACAUUUAAAAUGUUUAAAAUUGUUGUUUGCAUUAAAAUUGCUAAAUGACAUGGGGAUUUUUCCGGAAUUGUUGUUUGUUGUUCCGACUUCAUUUAGACUUGCCUAGAUAGGUAGCUUUAUUAUCUUUCACCUCUUGCCAUGUUAACCAACAUUUAAUCUUGUCUUGUUCAUAAACAAGAGCAAACUAAAUAAUUGAACGUGGCGUUUCAUCAAUAUGCAACUCGUUGCAUAUUGAGCUCCACUUAAUUUGUAGUGUUGUUUGUUCCACUUUGCCAUGCCAUGAAUCAUUAAGCUGGACAUGCAUCAUACUUGGUUGCGCAUCAUGUCAUGUUUAUGUGAUGGUUGUUUACCGUGUUGUUUGCUUCUUUCCGAUUGUGCUCCUUCUCGAUAGUUCCUGUUUCGUUACGAUCGUGAGGAUUCGUUCGACUAUGCUUGGUUCGUCUUCGCCCGUUCGUCUUCUUAAUGGACUUGUCCUUCUUCCUAGCGGGAUUUCAGGCAAGAUGACCGUUACCCUGGAUCUCACUACUAUCAUUGCUAUGCUAGUUGUCUCGAUGCUAUCUCUAUGUCGCGCUUCCUACCAGUUGUUUAUCAAGCCUCCCAAUAUGCCAUGAAACAACCUCUAACCUUUUUCACCCAUCCCAGCAAACCAUUGUUUGGCUAUGUUACCACUUUGCUCAGCCCUUCUCAUAGCAUUGCUAGUGGCAGGUGCAGUUGCAGGUUGUUGCAUGUUGGAACAUGGAUAUCAUGGAUAUCUUGGGAUAUCACAAUAUCUCUUAUUUAAUUAAUGCAUCUAUAUACUUGGUAAAGGGUGGAAGGCUCGGCCUUAUGCUUGGUAUUUUGUUCCACUCUUGUCGCCCUAGUUUCCAUCAUACCGGUGUUAUGUUCCUUAAUUUUGUGUCCCUAACACGAUGAGGGUUUAUGGGCCCCUCUUGACAGUUUGCUUUGAAUAAAACUCUUCCAGCAAGGCCCAACAUCGGUUUUACCAUUUGCCUCAUAAUAACUAAAACUUGCAUAGGGGAUUUUUGCCGGCCCCCGAGUAUUAUUAAUCAACCCCCCGAGCCAGUGCUCCUCUAAGUGUUGGUCCGAACUAGAGCAUCAUGCGGGGCCGCCCCAAGGCAACUUGGGGUAUUUGGUUACUGUACGCUUCGCUCAUCCGUUGUGCCCUGAGAAUGAGAUACGUGCGGGUCCUAUCGGGAUUGGUCAGCACACCGGGAGAUCUUGCUGGUUUUGUUUUACCAUUGUCGAAAUGUCUUGUGCACCGGGAUCCCGAGUCUGAUCGGAUGUCCCGUGAUGGAGGAUUGUCUCCGCGGAUCGUGAGCUUGUAAUGGGCUAAGUUGGGAUACCCCUGCAGGAUUUAAACUUUCAAGAGCCAUGCCCGCAGUUAUGUGGUAGAUGGGAGUUUUUAAUAUCCGGUUGUAGAGAACUUGACACCAGAUUCGAAUUAAAAUACACCAACCACGUAAGUUAGCCACCAUACAUUGCUUAGCUGCUUGCUGCAACUGAGGGAGUCCUGGAUUAGGGGGUAUCCUGACAGCCGGACUAUAUACUUUGGCCGGACUGUUGGACUAUGAAGAUACAAGAUUCAAGACUUCGUCCCGUGUCCGGAUGGGACUCUCCUUUGCGUGGAAGGCAAGCUUGGCGACUAGGAUGUUAGAUCUCCUUCUUUGUAAACCGACUAUGUGUAACCCUAGCCUCCUCCGGUGUCUAUAUAAACCAGAGGGUUUAGUCCGUAGGACAAGAACAAUGAUAAUCAUAGGCUAGCUCCUAGGGUUUAGCCUAUACGAUCUCAUGGUAGAUCAACUCUUGUAAUACUCAUAUCAUCAAGAUCAAUCAAGUAGGAAGUAGGGUAUUACCUCCAUAGAGAGGGCCCGAACCUGGGUAAAACAUCGUGUCCCCUGCCUCCUGUUACCAUUAGCCUUAGACGCACAGUUCGGGACCCCCUACCCGAGAUCUGCCGGUUUUGACACCGACACUGGUGCUUUCAUUGAGAGUUCUACUGUGCCAUCACGAUAAGGCUCGAUGGCUCAUCUCGUUGUCAAGGACAACAUCAUCUCUGGGGGAGCCCUGGCUCUAGGCCAAACUCUCCGGAUGGGCGGCUUCGUCAUGACCGCCCGAUCGGCUGUCGCGUCGAUGAUGACUUCUCGGGUCAUCAAAAACGGCAUCCACGUAUAUUCGGAACUUGCCGAACAGAUGGACCCAAUGGAGCUCUCCUCCUUUCAUGAUCUCUUGGAUUGCAUCGCUGCUCUGGGCGUCGCUAUGGACUAUGACCGGAUCGGGCUUAAACCCGACCAAAGGGAGAUUUACUCUCCACCGGUCACCCAUGAGAUAGCGGUAGUGGAAGAGCAUCGUACGAAUUCUCCCUCUAUUUUGAGGACGAACUAUGUCCGGAUUUCCAAGCUCCCUGAGCCGGACACCCACUCGCGGGAGGACAUGACCCAAACCCCGAAUUUAGAAUCAGGCGGCGGGCCGAAAAAAUUGGGCAACAUCCCAGAACCCGAGCCGCCAAGCUCGGAAGCUUCCCUACCCUCGAGUCUUGGAUUGGGUCAGGAUUCAGACUUAAAUCUGCCCACCCAUCCAGAUUUAUUCAAUCUUUCUCAUAUCAGACAAGUGCCCCAAGAGACAGUACAUCAUUACUGGGCCAGAUUCCUCCUUGUGAUAAACAAGGUCAAGGACUAUCGCGAGAAGGACGCAAUCUCUCUCUUUUGCAAAAAUUGCACGGACAAAGGGAUCCUCAACUCUAUAAGCCACUGUGACAUAGUACACUUUGCGGACUUAGCGGCCAUAGUACAGAAGUACUAUGCGAUGGAAAGCACCUGGAAAACCCAAACAAACUUCUGGGACAAUCCGGCUCUCAAUAAACCCUUCGUCCAAACGAAAAGGGUAAACUUUCGCAAGUCACCUGAUUCGAUUAUCAAAAAACCAAGGCCCAGUGCAGGGCGUGGAACCGUAUUGGAGAAAUGGCUCAAUGGGCCAUUCAUAGCACACGGGAUACCAUACCAACACAUAGCCUUAGAGCAUGUUGGAUACUACGGCAGGUAGCAAAGAGCGGCGAGGAUCUCCUCAUCAACCAUACUGCAGAACAACAUCCCGUCGAGAAUAACAAUGCGGUACUGACAGUCUUCGAGACUUUCGCCUCAAAUAAUAGGCGCAAGCAAGCUCUCCGUAGCCUCGCCGAAGUUUGCCACAUGGCAACAAUAAAUCCAUGGAACGACACAGCCAUAACUUUCAAUGCCAGUGACGAACCUCAAUUCCGAAUUGUCCGGGCACCAACCGCCUUGGUCCUUAGUCCAAUCAUGGACGGCUUCCGUCUCACUAAAGUGCUCAUGGACGGCGGAAGCGGAUUAAACCUCAUCUAUGAGGAAACCCUCAACAAGAUGGAAAUUGACAAAAGCCGCAUUGAGCAAAGCAGCACUACCUUCAGGGGAAUCAUCCCUAGUCGGGAGGCAUGGUGUGCGGGAAAAAUCACACUGGAUGUGGUAUUUGGCACGCCGGAGAAUUAUAGGUCCGAAGAAAGCACGUUCCAAGUGGCCCCGUUCAGCAGCGGAUACCACGCCCUUUUAGGGCGGGACGGAUUCACGAGCUUUCAAGUUAUACCCCAUUACGGGUACAUGAAACUCAAAAUGCCCGGACCUAAUGGAAUCAUCACUCUAACUAGUGAUCCGGACGUCGCACUCCGCGCAGAAAAUAAAACUGUCACACUAGCCCUAGAAGUAUUAUCCGAAGCCCUAGCGGCCAAAGAACUAACAACGCUGCGCGCCACAGUGGACAGAGACGACGUGAUACUCGACAAGCGACCCAAGUCCACCUCCUUUAAGCCCGCGGAUGGGAUAGUCAAAUUCCAGGUCCACCCAACAGACCCCACAAAGACAGCUUCCAUUGGGACAUAGUUGAGCCCCACAAUGGAUGCCGCACUAUGAGACUUCCUACGUGAGAAUUGGGACAUUUUCCCCUGGCAUGCUUCAGACAUGCUGGUAAUCCCACGCAGGCUGGCCGAACACAGCCUCAAUAUAUUGAAAGGAUACAAGCCAGUCAAGCAGACUCUUAGGCGCUUCUUAGAGCCUAAGCGGCAAGCCAUGGGAGAAGAACUAGCCAAGAUACUUGAGGCCGGAUUCAUCAGAGAUAUAAAACAUCUGGAUUGGCUAGCAAACCUGGUAAUGGUACCAAAGAAGGACAAAUCCUGGCGCCUAUGUGUCGAUUUCAAAGACCUCAAUAAGGCUUGCCCUAAGGAUCCUUUCCCGCUCCCUCACAUUGACCAAAUCAUUGACACCACCGCAGGACACGACUCACUGUGUUUCCUCGACGCAUACUCCAGAUACCACCAGAUCAAGAUGGAGGAAUCCGACCAAGCCGCAAUGGCCUUCAUAACGCCAUAUGGCCCCUUCUGUUUGAACACUAUGCCUUUUGGGCUAAAAAACGCCGGCGCAACCUAUCAACGCAUGAUUCAGACAUGCCUAGAGAAGCAAAUCGACAAAAUAGUGGAGGCAUAUGUGGAUGACGUGGUCAUCAAAACAAGACACGUCGAAACUUUAGUAGAUGACUUAAGACUCACGUUCGACAACCUCCGAACAUACGACAUCAAGCUCAACCCGGAAAAAUGUGUCUUCGGCGUACCCUCCAGGAAGUUGCUCGGCUUCAUCAUUUCCAACAGAGGAAUCGAAGCAAAUCCGGCAAAAAUCCGAGCUCUGUCACAGUUGGCUAUCCCAACAGACCUCAAGCAGAUCCAGAAACUAACUGGAUGUGUGGCUGCCUUAAGCUGCUUUAUCUCUCGAUUAGGAGAAAAGGCACUACCUCUUUAUCGCCUUCUUCGGCACGCUAAACACUUCGAGUGGACGGAUGCGGCCACGGCCGGACUGGAAGAAAUAAAGGCCCUAUUGGCCAGCAAUCCAGUCCUGACUGCGCCAAAUACUGGCGAACCUAUGCUAUUAUACAUAGCUGCAACACACCAGGUUGUAAGCGCAGUGCUCGUCGUCGAACAAGAAGCAGACGGACACAAGUUCCCGCUCCAAAAGCCGGUAUAUUACGUGUCCACUGUCCUCACCCCAUGCAAAUCCCGAUACCCACACUAUCAAAAGA
This 74004-nucleotide long non-coding RNA is filed under the name Triticum aestivum (bread wheat). RNAcentral describes it as "long non-coding RNA (TAES_LNC006490)". The stretch from base 57513 to 57584 matches the Rfam family "tRNA". The record is from RNAcentral. Lineage: Eukaryota; Viridiplantae; Streptophyta; Magnoliopsida; Poales; Poaceae.